RNAcentral lists this long non-coding RNA (57647 nucleotides) under Triticum aestivum (bread wheat). RNAcentral describes it as "long non-coding RNA (TAES_LNC006365)". Lineage: Eukaryota; Viridiplantae; Streptophyta; Magnoliopsida; Poales; Poaceae. The record is from RNAcentral.
UAGAUGGAGUCCCUUACGAUCAAUGUGAAAUUUUGAACCAGUUGCAUGAUGUCUUACCCCGUAUCUUUUAGGAAGUUUUUUGCUCAAACCAGCUGUUGCUGUCGGUAUGCAGCAUCUGGGUGCACAAACCAGUGGUGGAUCAGUGUGAAAGAUUGUUUUAUGUUUCUCAUCAAUGUGAGAUUGUUCUAUGCUUAUCUGGUUGUUGUUUCAGCUUUUGUCUAGUUGGUGUUUUUUCCGCACCACAUUGUGCAUGUUUGUCUGUCGUCCCCGUAGAACCUUUCUCAUGCCCUUGUAACUGGGUGUUAAUCGAUAUGGCGCACGGCCGUCAUAACGCGACCUUGAGCUGGUUAUUAAUUCAACGGCCGUGGCCGCCGAUCGUGCCUUUAAGAUUGAAUGAUUAAGUGAAAGUUUGACCCCGUGGAUUUUGCUUUCAAGAUAUUGAAAAAAUCCAUCGGCAAUCACAACUCUAAUAAUUAACUGCAACUUUACUAAUUUCAAGAUGGUUGAACACAUCAUGCUCUUUUAUUGGAUUCUCUAGGGUUGAUUGUAUUUCUUUUAUCAACAAAAAGAAGAUAGUUACAAUUAUUAAAAAUCAAUACAUUUCAGUGACUUCAAGCAAUGUAUGUCUCUUUGUAUAUACGUAUAUAAGAUUAGAAAUAUGGAAAUAAUAUCCACAAAAGAUAUAUGAAAAUAAUAGGUAAUACAGAUGUCUAUAUACACAUAUAGAAAUGUAUCAGUGUCUAAAUUAUCAUGUGUUAUGCAGCGAAGAGGUAGGAUGCCCUCGCAUUUAGGAGGGCCACUGUGCUAACUUUAUAGAUAAAACAUCCUGAUCUUUUUAUUAAUAAUAAAUAAGAACUCUGUAAUUACGGAAGUGGUAAAGGGCCGGUGGAAAAUGUCAAAAUAGUAAGGACGCUAUGAAGAGGAGCGUCCAAACCUGGACGCCAUUGCUAAGUGUGUCCUUUUAUAGACGCUCUUAUACACGACAUCUAGCUAUGUGGUUUCACUUAUUAGGCUCAACCGAGUCUUUUUUUCGUUUCUCUGAUAUACGUAACAGUUUCUGAUAUGCAAACCCUAAUACGCAUGCAGCCGUCGCUCUUGAUCUCGCGGUCUCGUAAGCAAGCUCCAGCGGCCAACAUCAACAAUCAUCAUGGGAGUCGUGUUGUCUCACCGGCCGCUCAUCAUUAGGAAUUUAGGAUCGUCCACUUGACCUGUAGUUGGCGCAUGUGAGUUGUACGCCAUAUUGCAUCUCCUCUAUCAAGUUUUUUUUGUAUAAUUCGUUCCAUGGUUGCAAGUGUACUGCGUACAAUGUAUAGAUGAUUGGAUUUUUAUUCCUGGUAAUAUAAUUGGUAAUUGUCUAGUUUAUGAGAACUGAUAGGUCGUGAAAAAUGCAACCUUGAGUCGAUAGUAAAUCAAUUUAAUAUUUUAAUCUUUACUUUCUACAUGUUCAUGUCUGCAGGUGAAUCCGAGAACAUCUUAAUUGUUCUAACGUAUGUUGAUGGUGAAGUGCAACAUGGAUCCAUGAAUGUGGAGUAUAAUGUUCCUCCCAAAGUCACAUUUCCAGCAUAUGAGGAAACAACUUUUCAAGAUAUCAAGAAUCUAUGUCAAGGACUUAGACAUGGAAAUAGCAGUGAUAGAACAUGAAUAUCCAGGUCCCGAGCAACAUGGAACAUGAUUUUCAAUUAAUUUCAGUAUAUGAGGAAAGAGGAUGGAACAUGAUUUUUAAGAAGACUAGGUCCCAAGCAACAUGGCAAGCGAUAGAGUUAUAUGUUAAGUUCACACCAAAUCGAGGUACAUUGAGCCAACUCAACGGUGGAAGCAACAUACCUAGAAUUGAAAGGGAAGGAAAAAGGUACACGGAAGUGCAAUGUGUUCAUCAUUGCAACAAACCCCGUCUGGUGCAUCUCUGGAUUAUAGUACAUGUGCUCGUGAUUUUGACAUGUCACAUGUUCCAUCUUGUAGUCAUGGUAAUGCAAGAAAUGAUUUUCCAACAAGUACUGCCUAUAGCCCUUAUGAUCAGGAUGAUACAGACCCAAAUGAUGAUUUGAUUGGACAUGAUGAUGAUGACGAUGAGCAUGAUUUCGAUGACGCACCUAGCCAAUGUUCAGAUGAUUAUCCAGAACCAAUGGCCGUGCACCACAACUGGAGUUGAGUAUAAAGAAAUGUGCGGGCAUUGUCAUAUAAUAAGUUCUCUUUGCAACCAAAUACUCGGGCCUCAUCAAGACAAGGGAACACGGAUGUACAUGGAUGAGAUGCAAGGAAGGCGAAUGGGGCAACAGGCCCGACGCUCCACAACUGACAAUAAUCAAACGGGUAUAUAGCUAUUGCCGUACUAGUAAUUUAUAUGUAAAAUAGCAAAAGCUUGGGAAAAUGGGAGCAUCAUAUAAUUUUCUUUUCAUGUCUUCGCUUUAGGCUCAUCGUUUGGCGAAGGAAAAAUGAAAUAUAAUCGAGGAAACACAUCGAGUUAAGGGAAAAACACAUCAUUGACAAGAAAGAGUGUUGGGGAUAUGUAACGCCCUCGAUGCGGCUAUAUCUCCCACGUGUCGAAGCACGACUUAGAGGCAUAACCGCAUUGAAAGCAAUGUCGCAAGUGAGGUAAUCUUCACACAACCCAUGAAUAUAACAUUACAUCAUCCAGAUACACACAAGGUCCGACAACGGAACCAAAAUAAAAGAAGACUACCCCAAAUGCUACACAGAUCUCCGAUCGUCCCAACUGGGCUCCACUACUGAUCAACUAGAAACGGAACAACACAAAGGACAAGAUCUUCAUCGAGCUCCUCCUUGAGCUUGGUUGCGUCACCUGCAUGAUUCAACGGCACCUGCAAGCUGGUUUUGGAAGUAUCUGUGAGUCACGGGGACUCAGCAAUCUCACACCCUCGCGAUCAAGACNNNNNNNNNNNNNNNNNNNNNNNNNNNNNNNNNNNNNNNNNNNNNNNNNNNNNNNNNNNNNNNNNNNNNNNNNNNNNNNNNNNNNNNNNNNNNNNNNNNNNNNNNNNNNNNNNNNNNNNNNNNNNNNNNNNNNNNNNNNNNNNNNNNNNNNNNNNNNNNNNNNNNNNNNNNNNNNNNNNNNNNNNNNNNNNNNNNNNNNNNNNNNNNNNNNNNNNNNNNNNNNNNNNNNNNNNNNNNNNNNNNNNNNNNNNNNNNNNNNNNNNNNNNNNNNNNNNNNUGCAUCAAAGUAGGUUGUCUAGAUAUGCAACUAGGUGAGAAACCUAUAUGAUGCAACAAGGAUAGGAACACAAACAAGCAAGUGAUAUGAUACAAAUAAGCUUACACAAGUAAAGGCACGAGAUAACCAAGAGUGGAGACGGUGGAGACGGGGAUGUGUUGCCGAAGUUCCUUCCCUUUGAGAGGAAGUACGUCUCCAUUGGAGCGGUGUGGAGGCACAAUGCUCCCCAAGAAGCCACUAGGGCCACCGUAUUCUCCUCACGCCCUCACACAAUGCGAGAUGCCGUGAUUCCACUAUUGGUGCCCUUUAAGGUGGCGACCGAACCUUUACAAACACGGUUGGGGCUCUCUCCACAACUUAAUUGGAGGCUCCCAACAAAACCACGAAACUUCACCAUAAUGGAAUAUGGCUCCGAGGUGACCUCAACCGUCUAGGGUGCUCAAACACCCAAGAGUAACAAAAUCCACACAAGAAAGUAUGGGGGAAGCAAAUAUCCUUUGGUGGAAGUGUAGAUCUAGGUCUCCUCCUUCAAUCCCUAGCAAAUCAACAAGUUUGAGUGGCUAGAGAGAGAGAUCAGGCAAGAGAGCUUGAAGUGAAUUAAUGGUGGAGUGAGAGAGGUCAAAGGUGAGAGUGGUAGGUGGGAGAAACACUCUUAUAUAGCAACCCUAAAAAUCCAGCCGUUGCUGCGUUUUCAGCCCCGCAGCGGUACAACCGGUCCUUGUCCCAGUACAACCGGGACUCACGGUGUAGCUGCAGAACCCUACCAGGCGGUACAACCGGGCCACUGGGCGGUAGUACCAGUUAAGAAAAAUGACCGGACCAACCGCACAGCCACCGCACAACUACCGCCUCAGAACAAAGACGCGACCGGUACUUGAGCGGUGCAAGACCGGAACAACCACAUGGCCUUGAGCUCUUGGACGGCGAAGUUCUGAGCAGAAGAACCGCUCAGACCACCGGUGGUACCGGUCAACGAGGAUCGACCGGAUCAACCGGGCCACCACCGCCAGAGAACCGCAUCAAAACAGAACUUUGAGCGGUACUUGAGCGGUGCAUGGCCGGAACCACCGCCCUAGCCUUUGUUGAGCAAGGUGGCGGUACCACCGCCCGGAGGCAGCGGUACAACCGCUCGGUAAAAGCUGGAGAGCGACAAGGUCCAACGGUACAACCGCUGGGAAGAGCAGAAAACAGAAGGAAAGAUAGGGGGAACACUCUCUCUCACAACUAAGGAAGACAAAUGAGUGGUGAGGAAAGUGUACGUGAAAAGAUUCUCCCAGAGCUUCCUAAUGAGGAUUCCCUCUUGAUAGUACGGGUACUCUACGACCAAAGAAAAUAAAAGCGUAGAGGACACGUCUUCGAUCUUUUCCUAUGAGAGGCAAUAGCAAUCCGAUGUAAGCCUAAGCAUCGAGAACCUGAAACAUAUAGCACACGAUUAGACCAACAAAGGGUUGUCAUUAUCAUCCAAAACAUAAAGUAGGGAAAUGCCCUUUCAGUCUCCUCCUUUUUGGUGGAUGAUGACAACAACACGAUUUGCAAGAGAUAAGUCAAUGAAAUCUAGACAGAACUCCCCCUGAAUAUGUGCCCCAAUAGGAACUAGCUGUUAAAAAGCAUGGGCACACUUUCAAGACUAGACUCCCCCCUAGAUUUUAUAGACUCACCACUCUGAGCAUAAAAAAGAGAGACAAUAUAAUACUUAGAGUGCAAUAAUAACGAUAAUGACCAAUGAACGGAAAGGUAACAGGAGUAACAAGUCUCACACACAGCAAGGAACGAAACAAGUCCACGAACAAAGACCAACACGAAAAAACGAGAAAAAGAAAAACCCAUGCAAAUCCCCGAGACCUAUAGAACCCUCCCCCCUUUGGCAUCAAGACACCAAAAAGGAAAAGAGCGAAGUUAGCGUCCCAAAGCUCAAGCGUCCUCCUCUGACUCCUCGGUCGCAUCUGGAUCCUCAUCAUCAGAGUCAUCAUCGUCAUCGUGAUCGGAUUCUUCCAUGGCAUUGGCAGCUGCUGCAAACGAGGAGGAUGACUGGGGAGGGGCUUCAUCAUCAGUCCAGGUGCUAUGGGUAGAUAUCCAACGCUCCUCCGGGGUGAUGCUCUUCUCAGAGCCACUCUCAACCGGCAUGUUGAGGUGCUUCAUCAUUGCAAUUUGGCAAUGUCGUGCAAGCUUCUCAUUGACAUGUGCCUCAUACAUCCUCUUCUGGAUGUCAGCCUGGAGACAAAAGGUCUUCUUCACCUUGGCAGUGAGCUUGGCCACCCAUGAAGGCUUGGCCCCUGGCUCCAGCUCAAAGUCCUCAUCGUCAGAAGUAGCAUAGACAUCCUCAGGAUCAUUGGCAGGGAAGCGAGGCUCGGCAUGCUUCUUCUUCUUAAGGAGCUUGACCUCAUGAACAGUGAGGUUGUCUGGAGAAGUGAGGAGCUCUACAGGACGACGAACAGCCCACACAGAGUUCAGAAAGCACAUGACAAACGGAGCAUAGAUUGGGACUUUACGGUAGAUGACCAUGUUGUACAUCUCAUGCCACAUCCAAUUGGACACAUCAAACGUUGCCCCUGUCCCCACCAUGGUCUUCAUAGCAACCAUCAAAUCAACCAGAUAACCAUGAAUCUCAUCUUGAUUGCCCACCUUGGGCAAGAGCACAUUGCGGAACACUUGGUGCAUGAUGUCAUAGACCUUCUCCAAAUCCUUGGAUUCUCCAAUAAUCCCACGGCCCUGAAUGUACAGAGGGACAAGCUUCUCCUUAAGCAUGGACUCAGGAAAGUCAUGAGGACGAAUGCCACCCCUUCCUUCCAGACCGGUAUCCUCGUACCCAAUAGCAUUGCAGAAUGCCCUCGAGGGAACUUGAAACAAUUCAUCAUGACACAUGAAGGUGAGAGUGCGCGCGUCAUCUUCCCCAAAAUGAACCGUGGCAUAGAACUGAUGGAUGAGUUGAACAUCAAAGUCACAGUUGACUGACAUGAGCUUGACAAGAUCUCCUCGCAGAGAGCCAGCGCCUCACCAAAAUACUCCAGGUUGUUCCUCCAAUGAUCAAGAUCAAUUGUCCACUUCUUGGCAUAUCUGUUCUUGUUGUGCUCAAAGAGUUCAUGAAUAAUCCACACUUGCAUCUCAUUCUGGAACUGAACGGUGGUCCAACGAGGAGCAAUGGGAACCUCAUACGGAUUCUUCGAUCGGAAGGGUUCCCAUUCCUUGGCUUUCCAACAAUGCAACGGCCUAACCACACGUUGCUUAGCAGCUGCAGACUUUUCACGGUGAGUGGGCUUGGUGGGAAUCACAACUUCUUAUUCAUCAUCAGACGCAACCGGGCGCAAGGUCCUUCUUUCACUCUUCUUGGUCUUGCGAGGAGCAGAGCGAGAACUAGAGCCACCUGAACACACACACACACACACACGAAAAGAGCACACAAAAACCAGCAAGGAUGAGAGGAUUGCACACACUAGCAGAAAAGGAACAUGUUGCGGCAACAGAGAAGAUAGAACAAUACUGGGUGGUUGAUAUACUCCGGUUGUACCGGAUCCUCCGCCGGUAGUACCACUUCAGCGGUUGUACCGCCCGUAGGGGCGGUAGAACCGCUGACAAUGGCACUACCAGGGGAGAUAGAUCUAACCAAGGCAUACUAAUCACACAAGUAAUAUUCCAAAUUCUAAGUGCUGCAAACAAGACAGGAGGCAAACAAAGAUCUCUUCUACUCCAUAGUUCAAACACUAAUCGUGGAAAGUGAAGUAAUGCCCUAGACAAAGGAAGAACCCUAGAAAGAUCUAGGAGCAAAGAACACGAGGCAUUACCACCAUCCAUGGGAAGAGAUCGGGAGGCUUCCACGGAGAGCCCAAGGAUCCGAAGCGCGAGACGCACUCCGGGGCAGGGGCAAAGAGGGCCGGCGGCUAGGGCACAGAGAAGAGGAACGAGGGCGAAGGGAAAAAGAAAACCCUUCAGCCCCGUCGAGUAUAUAUAGGCCCGUAGACACGCCCCGGUAGUACCGCUCUGGGGAGUGGUUGUACCGCUCGUCUGGUACAGACCGGUGGUUGGAGGCAAUACUUCCGGUGCUUGGAAGGCAGCGGUAGUACCGCCCGGCGUCCACCGGUAGUACCGGACGUAGGUUACCAUGGGUUUGAGCGAUGGAACCGCCCAAGCACCGAACGGAGACCCAUUGGGACGGCACAACUAGGUACCAGCGGUAGAACCGCCUGUGAUCCCGGUUGUACCGCCCGACCACCUAUGCCCAAGCCAAGAUCAAAUGAGUGCAAUCCGAGGAGGGGAAGAAAGAGCACGAAACAGGAGAGAAACAACACCCUAGGAGAACCCAACACAAAGAGCAAAGAAAGAACGAGAGAAAACAACACGAGAACAAAAAGCUAACUCCAACCUCCCCAAGAGAGGACGGUGGCCGGAGCCACCCAUGUUUGAGUCAAUUGGUAUGGCACCGCGAAGAAUUAUCCUUGGGUCCAUGACCAAAACUCGUCUUUGAAGCACAAGUACCAUCAAACAUGGCUAAUGUGAAAGACUUGAUCAAUUUAUGCAUAAUGGGGGGAGGGAGAGUUCAUUGAGAGAACAUCACUCCCCCUAUGUCCAUGCCUACAUCUAACAAGACACCACGUCGAGUAUGGUGGGGUGUGCAAGGGUUCAAGCAACAUUGCUCGAAUCAAUGAUAUUUAGCUCAUGCCUUAACUCACAAAAUCUUGCUUCAUCCAAGGGCUUCGUGAAGAUAUCUGCAAGGUUAUCAUGAGUGUUGACAUAGUUGAGCUCGAUCUCUCCUCGCCUAAUGUGAUCCCGGAUGAAGUGAUACCGGAUCUCAAUAUGCUUCGUCUUGAAGUGUUGCACCGGGUUGAGAGAGAUCUUAAUGUCACUUUCAUUGUCACACCAAAGAGGCACUUUGUCACAAAUGAACCGUAGUCCUUUAAAGUUUGCCUCAUCCAUAAGAGUUGUGCACAGCAACUACCGGCCGCCACAUACUCCGCUUCGGUGGACGAGAGAGACACACAACUUUGCUUUUUGGAAGACCAACUUACCAAAGAGCAACCAAGGAAUUGGCACCCUCCGGAAGUGGACUUCCUAUCCACUUUGUCUCCCGCCCAAUCGGAAUCCGAAUACCCUACAAGCUUGAAGUUUGCUCCUCUUGGGUACCAUAGGCCAAAGUUUGGGGUAUGAGCCAAAUAUCGAAAGAUUCAUUUGACCGCCACAUAGUGACUUUCCUUAGGUGCGGCUUGAAACCGUGCACAAAUUCCCACACUCAACAUGAUAUCCGGUCUAGAUGCACAAAGGUAAAGCAAGGAACCUAUCAUGGAGCGAUAUACCUUUUGAUCCACCAGUUUACCAUUGGGAUCUAUGUCAAGUUGGCACUUGGUGGGCACUGGAGUGGAAGCCGGCUUGACAUCACUUAGCUUGAAUCUCUUGAGCAUGUCUUGAGUAUAUUUGGCUUGGUUUAUGAAGGUUCCUUCUCUUCUUUGCUUCACUUCGAACCCUAGAAAGAACUUCAACUCUCCCAUGGAAGACAUCUCAAACUUUGAGGUCAUGAGAGCGGCAAAUUCCUCAUUGAAAGCUUUGUUAGGGGAACCAAAGAUAAUAUCAUCAACAUAUAAUUGGCACACAAACAACUCCCAUUUGACCUUCUUAGUAAAAAGAGUGGGGUCAAUUAGCCCAACUUCAAAACCACGAUCUUGUAACAACUUGGUAAGGUGGUCAUACCACACACGUGGGGCUUGUUUAAGGCCAUAGAGUGCCUUAUCGAGUUGAUACACAUGAUCGGGAAAGUAGGGAUCCUCGAACCCGGGGGGUUACUUGACAUAAACCAAUUCAUUAAUGGGACCAUUAAGAAAAUCACUCUUCACAUCCAUUUGUUGUAACUUAAAGUUAUGAUGAGAAGCAUAUGCAAUCAACAUGCGAAUGGAUUCAAGACGAGCAACAGGAGCAAAGGUUUCACCGUAGUCGAUACCCUCGACUUGGGAGUAGCCUUGUGCUACCAAAUGAGCCUUGUUGCGAAUGAUAAUCCCAUGGGCAUCUUGCUUGUUCUUAAAUAUCCACUUGGUUCGAAUGACAUUGUGGUUCUCCGUCGGUCUUGGCACCAAUCUCCACACUUUGUUGCGCUCGAAGUUGUUGAGUUCUUCAUGCAUGGCAUUGAGCCAAUCCGGAUCUUCUAGCGCCUCAUAGACCUUGUGGGGUUCCACACAAGAGACAAACGCGUGAUGCUCACAAUAAUUUACUAAUUGUCUACAAGUGCUUACCCCCUUUCUUAAGCUUCCAAGCACAUUCAUCAUGAGAUGAUCCUUGGUGGAGAGCUUGGAAGCAACCUUGGCGCACGACGCUCUAAUUCCUCCUCGGGGGUGAGACGAGGAGUGGUCACUUGAUCAUCUUGAGCGUUGUCUUGGGCUUGUUCUUGUUCUUGGACUUGCUCGGAGGAGAGUACUUGACCUUGGGCAUCACUUGAUGUGUCAACACCAUCUUGAGCGUGAUCUUGCCCUUGGUCAUGUUCUUGAGGAUGAGGGCCUUCAUGUUGUUCUUCGGAAGCGUGUGGGCCUUGGGUUGGUGAUGGCUCCACUUGAGUGGAGCUUUGUCCUUCUCCUUCGACCACAAGGGGUUCCUCAAUGGGUAGGAUAAAGCCAACACCCAUUCUUCUUAUGGCUUGGGGAGGAAUUUCAUCACCUACAUCACAAGUGCCACUUUGCUCCACUUGAGAGCCGUUAUUCUUAUCAAACUCCACGUUACACGCCUCCUUAAUAAGUCCCAUGGAUUUAUUGAGGACAUGGUAAGCAUGAGAGUUUGUAGCAUAACCAACAAAUAUGCCCUCAUAAGCUCUAGCCUCAAAUUUAGACAACCGAACACCUUUCUUGAGAAUGAAACACUUACACCCGAACACCCGGAAGUACUUGAGGUUGGGCUUGUUACCGGUGAGUAUCUCAUAUGGAGUCUUGUUCAAGCCCUUGCGGAGGUAGAGCCGAUUGGAUGCAUGACACGCGGUAUUGAUGGCUUCGGCCCAAAAGUUGUACGGAGACUUGAACUCCGCCAUCAUGGUCCUUGCCGCAUCCAUCAACGUCCGGUUCUUCCUCUCCGCAACACCGUUUUGUUGAGGGGUGUAAGGUGCGGAGUAUUGAUGCUUGAUCCCCUCAUCACUAAGAAACUCAUCCAAGGUGUAGUUCUUGAACUCGGUGCCGUUGUCACUUCUUAUUGUCAAGAUCUUUGCAUUGUGUUGAUGUUGUGCUUCAUUUGCAAAGUCAAUGACGGUUUGUUGGGUCUCGCUCUUCCUCUUGAAGAAAUACACCCAAGUGUAUCUUGAGUAGUCAUCCACAAUCACCAAGCAAUACUUCCUACCCCCAAGACUAUCGAAGGAUGGAGGCCCAAAGAGAUCCAUGUGAAGGAGCUCCAAAGGCCUCUUUGAGUAGAUGAUAGUCGUGGGAGGGUGAGCCUUCUCAUGUAGCUUUCCUUCGAUACAAGCACUGCAAGCACGAUCUUUAGCAAAACUAACAUUUGUUAGUCCAUGGACAUGGUCCCCCUUGAGAAGACUUUGCAAAGAUCUCAUAUUGACAUGGGCUAGACGGCGAUGCCAAAGCCAUCCCACAUCAACUUUAGCCAUUAGGCAUGUCGCGGUCUUAGUGGGUCGCUCUGAAAAGUUAAUCACAUAUAGACUGUUCUUGACAUGCCCAACAAAGGCUACUUUAAGAGUCUUGCUCCACAAGAGGGCCACGGUAUCAAUAUCAAAGAAGGUGGCAAAGCCCAUGAUUGCACGUUGACGAACGAAAAGUAAAUUGUAUGCAAGGGACUCUACAAGCAUGACCUUCUCGAUCAUGAGAUCAUGAGAAAUGACAACCUUGCCGAGUCCCAAUACCUUAGAGGACGAGGCAUCACCCCAUUCGACGUUGGUGGGCAUAGAGGAAAUCUUGUGCACGUCCACCACCAAGUCCUUGCUUCCGGUCAUAUGAUUUGUAGCUCCACUAUCGAGCAACCAUGAUCCCCCACCGGAAGCAAACACCUACAAGAGAUUAAUGCUUGGUUUUAGGUACCCAUUUUGUAAUGGGUCCUUUGAUGUUAGUAACAAGGGUCUUAGGAACCCAGAUAGACCAUUCAAUGUAUUCAUAGGGAGAACCAACAAAUUUGGCAUAAACAUGCCCAUCACUAGCACGGCAUAACACAUAAGAAGGAUUAAAGUCGUCGGCUUUGUUUGGAGGGGUGGCAUUGCCCUUCUCGGCGCCGCCACCCUUCGCAUCAUUCUUCUUCUCCUUGGAUGCACCCUCUCCCUCCUUCACAAAAGUUUGCUUGAGAGGGGGAGGUCGUUUGGCCUUGUCAUUCUUCUUCUUGUUCUUGGGCUUGGGUGCGUACCCAAUCCCUUCCUUGGCCACGACUUCCUUUUGACUACUCAAAAGGUCGUUGAGGUUCUUCUCACCUUGUAUACAUGACACAAGGCCUUUCUCAAGUUGCUCCUUCAACUUAGCAUUUUCCUCAACAAGAUGUAUAUACUCACAACACGGGUUAGUAGCAUUUGCAUUAUCAAUUAAAACCAUAUGAGGAAAUGUGGCUUUCUCCUUAGUUAGCUUCACCUGGAGUUGAUCAUGAGACUCCUUGAGACUAGCGUGAAUACCCUUCAAGGCCUUGUGGGCCUUGUCAAGUAUAUCAUACUCCUCUUUGAGUCUAGCAAGAUCAACCCCAAAUUCGGCCCUCUCAGAAUUUAGCACACGAGAAACAACAAGAGCAUGAUCAAGAUCUUUCUUUAAUUUAGCAUGAUCUUCGUUGUGUGACUCCUCAAGAGCCAAACGAAGACCACGCUCUUCCUCAAGAGCAUUGGAAAGAUCCGAAAUCUCAUCGGCAUAGUCACGACUAUGCCCUUCCAUCUUAGAGAUGGUAUCUGCGUGAGCGUCGAUCAUGUCAUUGGCUUCACCAAGUUGUUCCAAGAGAGCAACAAAGUGCUUCUUGGACUUGCCCUUGAGUUUACCCAUAAAGGUCUCAAACUCAUUCUCCUCCACAUUAGUUCCCUCAAGUUCAUUAAUGCUAUCCGUCGGAGAAGGAUGAUUAAUGAUGGUAGUUUUGAUGUUGGGGGUUACCUUGUUGGUAGCUUUAGCCAUGAGGCACUUGGCGGUGAUGCUCUCAUUUGGUGAGUCGAAGAGAGACACCCGUGGAGUCGUCAUAAUGGCAACGGAGGCCAUGGCAACCAACUCAUCACCUUCAUCAUCAUCAUCAUCCUCAUUGUACUCUUCUUGUACCACCAAUGCCUUGGGAGGAGUCUUCUUGGUGAAGUUGCUCUUGUUGGGGAACGACUUGGCCUUGUCCUUUCGGAUGAGCUUGCCACCAUUGUCUUCCCUCUUCCCAUACGGGCACUCCGUAACAAAAUGACUCACGUUGCCACAAUUGUAGCAAGUCCUUACACGUUGCUUGCUCUUCGUGCCACUUGAGUUGUUUUUGCUAAAGUUUGGCCUUGAGUUUUUCUUGCUCCAAAAUUGCCUUGAAGCGAGUGCCAUGUGUUCAUGAUAUGCAUAAUUUGUAUCCUCGGGGUUGCUCUCCUCUUCUUCCUCUUAUUCUUCUUCAAUGGACAGCUUGGCCUUCAAUGCAAGGUUGGGCUUCUUUGCCCUUUGAGAACGAAGCAUCGCAUUGUUGGCGGUCUUGUCCAAAAUGUUCAUGGCCACAAACUCAUCCAACACUUCGCUUGAGGUCAAAGUGUGGAAGUCCGGUCUUUGACGAAUGACAGAGGACAUGGCCUUGUGAUAGGGCAUCAUUGCCUUGAGGAAUUUGCGCUUGAUCCAAUUGUCAUCCGUGUCCUUGCUCCCGUGAUCUCGUAGUGAGACCGCGAGUUUGGUUACUCUCCGAUAAAGCUCACGAGGUUCUUCAUCUUCUUUCAUUUCAAACUCAUCGGCCUCAUCUUGCACCACUUCAUAGUUGGAGCGUUGAAUGCUUGCGCUUCCCCGGUAGAGAGAGACAACACAAUGCCAUGCAUCUUUGGCCAAGGCGAAGGGACGAAGAUGAGGUAGGUCUUCAGGUGGAAUUGCAUCUUGAAUUAUGAAGAGAGCAUUCUCAUUGAAUUGAUUAUCCGCGGCUUCUCGAGGAGUGAAGUUGCUUGGAUCAUGCGGAUAGAAACCUUCUUCAAUGAUCCUCCAAAGGUUAGUGUUCACAUGAUUUAAAUGACGUUUAAAACAGUAAACCCAAGAAUCAAAGUCCUCAUUUUUCACAAUCUUAGGGGGAGGACCGGCAUGAUUCAAAUGAGUGGAGGGAACCGGUCCACCAUAAACAAGUGGUGGUUCCACAUGAGCAAAAAUGCCGGUGCCAUUUUUACCACUAGAAGAAGGAGCCUUUUCACUACUAGCUUCCCCCUUAUCGGAGAUAGCAUCUGUCACCUUGUCGGUGGGAUCACCCACUUUUAACAGUGCGGUGGAAAGUUUAAGCCCCUCAAGGAAUUUAGUAAACAUGCUUUCAACCUCGGUGGUCAUGGAGGUUUUCAAUGUCUCCAAGGCCACAUUGAACUCCUCACGAGAGACUGAGGUUCCCCCAUCGCCCGCAGACGAGGUCGGAUUCGUACCGGAGUGUUCCUCCACACCGUCUACGGUAUCAACCAUACUCUUCGGAUGGUAAAGUCCUUAAUAAAGAGACGAGGCUCUGAUACCAAUUGACAGGAUCGAUAUGGUUGACUAGAGGAGGGGGUGAAUAGGCAACUAACAAUUUUUUAGCUUUUCUUUAACAAUUUAAACUUUGCAUCAAAGUAGGUUGUCUAGAUAUGCAACUAGGUGAGCAACCUAUAUGAUGCAACUAAGCUUGCACAAGUAAAGGCACGAGAUAACCAAGAGUGGAGAUGGUGGAGACGGGGAUGUGUUGCCGAAGUUCCUUCCCUUUGAGAGGAAGUACGUCUCCGUUGGAGCGGUGUGGAGGCACAAUGCUCCCCAAGAAGCCACUAGGUCCACCGUAUUCUCCUCACGCCCUCACACAAUGCGAGAUGCCGUGAUUCCACUAUUGGUGCCCUUGAAGGCGGCGACCGAACCUUUACAAACAAGGUUGGGGCUCUCUCGACAACUUAAUUGGAGGCUCCCAACGAAACCACGAAGCUUCACCAUAAUGGAAUAUGGCUCCGAGGUGACCUCAACCGUCUAGGGUGCUCAAACACCCAAGAGUAACAAAAUCCACACAAGAAAGUAUGGGGGAAGCAAAUAUCCUUUGGUGGAAGUGUAGAUCUAGGUCUCCUCCUUUAAUCCCUAGCAAAUCAACAAGUUUGAGUGGCUAGAGAGAGAGAUCAGGCAAGAGAGCUUGAAGUGCAUUAAUGGUGGAGUGAGAGAGGUCAAAGGUGAGAGUGGUAGGUGGGAGAAACACUCUUAUAUAGCAACCCUAAAAAUCCAGCCGUUGCUGCGUUUUCAGCCCCGCAGCGGUACAACCGGGACUCAUGGUGUAGCUGCAGAACCCUACCAUGCGGUACAACCGGGCCACUGGGCGGUAGUACCGGUUAAGAAAGAUGACCGGACCAACCGCCCAGCCACCGCACAACUACCGCCUCAGAACAGAGACGAGACCGGUACUUGAGCGGUGCAAGACCGGAACAACCGCAUGGCCUUGAGCUCUUGGACGGCCAAGUUCUGAGCGAAGAACCGCUCAGACCACCGGUGGUACCGGUCAACGAGGAUCGACCGGGUCAACCGGGCCACCACCGCCCGAGAACCACAUCAAAACAGAACCUUGAGCGGUACUUGAGCGGUGCAUGGCCGGAACCACCGCCCUAGCCUUUGUUGAGCAAGGUGGCGUUACCACCGCCCGGAGGCAGCAGUACAACCGCUCGGUAAAAGUUGGAGAGCGACAAGGUCCAGUGGUACAACCGCUCCAGGGGGCGGUACAACCGCUGGGAAGAGCAGAAAACAGAAGGAAAGAUAGGGGGAACACUCUCUCACACAACUGAGGAAGACAAAUGAGGGGUGAGGAAAGUGUACUGAAAAGAUUCCCCCAGAGCUUCCUAAUGAGGAUUCCCUCUUGAUAGUACGGGUACUCUACGACCAAAGAAAAUAAAAGCGUAGAGGACACGUCUUCGAUCUUUUCCUACGAGAGGCAAUAGCAAUCCGAUGUAAGCCUAAGCAUCGAGAACCUGAAACAUAUAGCACACGAUUAGACCAACAAAGGGUUGUCAUCAUCAUCCAAAACAUAAAGUAGGGAAAUGCCCUUUAAAGCGACUAGCAUAUGUGGUGGCUAACAUACGCAAAUGAGAGCGAGAAGAGAAGGCAAAAGCACGGUCGAACAACUAUGAUCAAGAAGUGAUCCUAGAACAACCUACGUCAAACAUUACUCCAACACCGUGUUCACUUCCCGGACUCCGCCGGAAAGAGACCAUCAUGGUUACACACGUGGUUGAUGCAUUUUAACUAACAAAUUCCCAUCUGCCCAUAACCGCGGGCAUGGCUUUCGAAAUUUCAAAUCCCUGUAGGGGUGUCCCAACUUUGCCCAUCACAAGCUCUCACGGUCAACGAAGGAUAUUCCUUCUCCCAAGACAAUCCGAUCAGACUCGGCAUCCCGGUUACAAGACAUCCUCGACAAUGGUAAAACAAGUCCAGCAAUACCACCCGCUGUGCCGACAAAUCCCGAUAGGAGCUGCACAUCUCGUUCUCAGGGCACACCGGAUAAGCUAAGCGUACGGGAGCCAACGUAACCCAAGUUGUCAAGGGACGGCCCCGCAUGAUGCUCUGGGUUGGACCAACACUUAGACAAGCACUGGCCCGGGGGUUUAAAUAAAGAUGACCCUUAGGCUGGCUUAACCCAAGGGAAAAAGAGGCUAGGUGGCAAAUGGUAAAACCAAUGUUGGGUCUUGCUGGAGGAGUUUUAUUCAAGGCAAACUGUCAAGGGGUUCCCAUUAUAACCCAACCGUGUAAGGAGCGCAAAAUCCGGGAACAUAACACCGAUAUGACGGAAACUAGGGCGGCAAGAGUGGAACAAAACACCAGGCAUAAGGCCGAGCCUUCCACCCUUUACCAAGUAUAUAGAUGCAUUAAUUAAAUAAGAGAUAUUGUGAUAUCCCAACAAUAAUAUCCAUGUUCCAACAAGGAACAAGCUCCAAUCUUCACCUGCAACUAACAACGCUAUAAGAGGGGCUGAGCAAAAGCGGUAACAUAGCCAAACAAUGGUUUACUAGGACAAGGUGGGUUAGAGGCUUGGCUUAACAAUAUGGGAGGCAUGAUAAGAAAGUGGUAGGUAUCACAGGAUAGGCAUAGCAAAAAAGCAAGCAUCUAGCAAGCAAAGAUAGAAGUGAUUUCAAGGGUAUGGUCAUCUUGCCUGAGAUCCCGCAAGGAAGAAGAACGAGUCCAUGAAGAAGACAAAUGGACGUAGUCGAAUGGGUCCUCAUAAACGUGACGUUAUUGGAACCAACCCGAAGAGCAACACCUAAAAGAAGCACACAACAUAGUAAACAACCAACACAUGAGCAUGGCAUGAUAUGCGGGAUGCGGUAUGCGAUGCAUAUGCAUGAUUUGGAAAGGAAUGAUUGAACCUGGCCUCAACUUGGAAAUCCAAGAGUGCCACUGGAAAGGUGAGUUGAUUUCGGUUGAAAUCGAUAUAAAGAUCACCGGAAUCGGAUGCACGGUUUGGAAAUGGCAAGCAAAACAAAUAUGGCACCGGUCUGCGAUAAUCAGCAAGUGACCAUCUAAAUGCAUCAAGAACAACAUGCUACAGCAUUCAAACAUGACAAUAAAAUACAUGGUAGGGAUCCACUCAUGAUGCUUGACAAAAUAUGAACACUGAUCUACGGCUAAAUCACUCAAUAGAAAGCUCAAACAAGCGUGGAAAAAGUGCAAAAGAUAACAGGUUUCAGACUUACUGAAAUAAACAGGAUAUCCGGAAUUUAUCAUCGGGAAGCAAUGUUUAGAGCACAAUAACUACAUGCUACAGGAACAUAUCAUGGCAAAGAAAGGCAUGGCAUGAAGCUACUCUAAGCAUAUAACAAAAGUCCCUUAGUGACCAUGAGCCAAAAGGGAUCAGAAAAUACAAUUGCAAGCAUGUGAACAUAGCAAAAACAUAAACAGAUUCAGACUUAGUGAAAAACUGGAACAUGCAAACAGAUUAACAAGUAGGCAUGUUUACGAGCUCGAUGCACUCACUACAGAGCAUGGCAUGACAAACUAAGCAUACACCCAUGAAGAAGACAUGGCAUAGAAGCUAGAAAUGGCAAGAGCAACAACAUAGCAUGCACAGAACAACAACAACAACAACAAGCUCGGCAAAAUUGAUAAACAUGUUAACAAUCUGCCAGGAACAUUUUAUAGCAAAAGUAGAGCUCAAUUGACUCAAUCUAGGGUGCUCCAUAAUUGCAAACAAAGACAUGGAUGGAUAGGGCACAACAAUAUUAACAAAACAUCCUUACUGAUCAUCUUCAAAAGAGGCACGGAUCACUAGGAAAGAACAUGAACAUAUGGCAUAAAAAUAAUGACAGGGCAAAGACUUAAUGAAAUUCAAAGUCCCUGAAAUCAGCAUCAUUGAGUAAGCUACUGUGCAUGCUUGUGCUAGUCAACACAAAGAUCACAAAAAUACAUGGCAUACACCCCUGUAAAGAUGGCAUGGCAUAUAACAAAACACAUGUAGAGCUCAGGGUCAUAGCAUGCACACAUUAAUCAUGGCAAAAAUGACAAAAGGCCAUUUGCUGAAACAGAUCUGACAUAAUCCUCACAUAGCCCUCUUCCAACAGAAUUUCGGGCAUCAAGAUGAGCUCAAAUGAAAAUGAUGCAAUGAGAUGAAAUGAUGUACUCGUCGAGACGAAUAUUUUGAUAUGCUACAUGCACGAAUCGGAGCUACGGUUGAUGAGAGUAUGAUGCUAUGAAAAUGCACAAAAAUACUGGAACGUAGACGAAGUUCAACCUCCGGAUAAAGUCAACGGGAUCUCGUGGUACGGGACAGCGCGGUGCGGGACGGAGGGAGGCGUUUGGAUGGCCGAGAUGGUGGAUCUGGUCCACCCGACCAGAUCCGGCCGGUGAGGGGCUCCGGUUAGGGCGGGCCAUCUCCGGCGAGGCGCGGUGGCGCACGGCGACGAACUCCGGCGCGGCUGCCGGAGCACAGGACGACAACGAGGCCCCAACGAGGCGGCGCCUCCACGGGAAUGGCGGCGAGGACCAGUGUCAGAGCGGCGGCNNNNNNNNNNNNNNNNNNNNNNNNNNNNNNNNNNNNNNNNNNNNNNNNNNNNNNNNNNNNNNNNNNNNNNNNNNNNNNNNNNNNNNNNNNNNNNNNNNNNNNNNNNNNNNNNNNNNNNNNNNNNNNNNNNNNNNNNNNNNNNNNNNNNNNNNNNNNNNNNNNNNNNNNNNNNNNNNNNNNNNNNNNNNNNNNNNNNNNNNNNNNNNNNNNNNNNNNNNNNNNNNNNNNNNNNNNNNNNNNNNNNNNNNNNNNNNNNNNNNNNNNNNNNNNNNNNNNNNNNNNNNNNNNNNNNNNNNNNNNNNNNNNNNUCGGGAGGGCCGGAUGCGGGCCCGAGCGGGCCGGGGCGAUGUGGGCGCGCCGGCGCGGCGGCUCGGCCAGUCACAGAGUGACACGUGGCGGCGGACGGCGAAACAGACGUGUCCGACGCGGUGGAAGAAAUGUCCGGCGGCGGCGGGGAGAGUUAGGGUAAGGUUUGCAAUGCGAAUUUCGGAGGGGAUCACAUAUUUAUAGGUAGAGGGAGCUAGGAGAGUCCAAAUGAGGUGCGGUUUUCGGCCACGCGAUCGUGAUCGAACGACCGAGAUGAUGGAGGAGGUUUAGGUGGGUUUUGGGCCAGUUUGGAGGGGUGUUGGCCUGCAACACACACGAGGCCUUAUCGGUCCUCGGUUAACCGUUGGAGUAUCAAACGAAGUCCAAAUGGUACGGAACUUGACAGGCGGUCUACCGGUAGUAAACCAAGGCCGCAAGACAAGUCUCAAUCCAAUCCGAAAACGUUUAACACCCGCACACGAAAAGAGAUAGAAAGGGACACCAGAUGACAUAGGAGCGCCGGAUUGCAAAACGGACAACGGGGAAAAUGCUCGGAUGCAUGAGACAAACAUGUAUGCAAAUGAAAUGCACAUGAUGACAUGAUAUGACAUGCAUGACACGCAAGCAAUGACAAGGCAACAACAGCGAAUAACUGGAGGACACCUGGCACAUCGGUCUCGGGGCGCUACAACACUCCAUCACUACGAGAGGAUCUCGUCCCGAGAUCUAGAAUGGCACCGGAGGGACAACGGAAGAGAAAGAGAAGAGGUAAAACUAAGUUGCUUCUUUGACAAACAAGUGAAACCAAAGAACUUUGCAAGGUUGAGAAAAUUGAAAGAAAGAAAGCAACUGAGGUGAACGAAGUUGAAAGUACUCCAUUAGGAAAAAGGAACAAGGAAGAACAAAUUCGGACAGCACUCCGUUUGAAAAGAGAAGCAAGACUUGAUAAGGCGAAAGAACUUGAGCAAAAGGGCACAACACUCCGGUUAAAAGGAUAAGCAUGAAAAGAAUAAGGUCCUGACAAGAACAAGAAGAAGGUUUGAAGAGAGCACCAGCACAAUGCCUCCGGAAGAAAGAAAUAGAAGAUAGACAAUUGAAACAAAAGAAUGGAGAAGAAAAUGCCAACUUCUGCCACAAAAGAGCUUGAAAAAAGGCAUCCUUAGGAGGAGGGUCGAACGGAGUUGUUGGAAAACCAACAACGAAAAGAGUAAGCUUGUUGUGGGCUUAUAGAAAACAUCCCAAAAUUAUGAGGUGAAAUCCUGCCACAAAUGAAAACAAUUGCUUGCUUGAGAGCGACGGAGAGAUGAAAACAUCUUUCAUCAUGAGAAUAGGAGGAAACUUGGAUCAUCGAUAAACACCAUAAAUAACCAUAUUCCUUAGGAAGGUUUUAGGUGAAAUAUAACCCAAGAUAACUCCAAUGAAGAGAUUGGUGGAUUUAAGAUAUCUCAUUCUUGACAACAUGUGAAUCAUGGAACAUGAACUCAAAUUAUGAAGAAUGACAUAGCACCACCUCAAAUGAUACAGUAAAAAGAAUUGAACUCCGGAUUGCACGAAGAAGAAUACUUGAGCUCCUUAGAAAAGAAUGUUGAUGAAAACUUGGAGAAGGAAUUAGAUCCUUAAAGAACCUACAUGUAGAACCUCCAUGAAGAACUCCGGUAAACAAAAGGAUAACAAAAAGAAAGAGAAGUGAAGUAGAGAACACAAGGUGAAACCUUGUACCGAUUUAGACGAAUCUCCGUGGUGAAAUGAUUGAAAAAGGUUGGAACUCCGGGAAAAAUAGAAGAUGAAACAAUUGAAAUCAGGAAUUUGAUAAGCCUCCGGAAUAGGGAAUUGAGUUCACUCGAUGAAACAAGAAUAAGAAUUACAUUAUGCUUAUCCUUCACCAAUUAAAUUGAUGACAAUCAACGGAUUUGGCAUAUUACUUAUUCUCGUAGAAAAGAUUAAAAGAGAUAUAGCGCAAACUUGAAGAGGCCUUCGAUGACCCACCGGUAGGAUUUGAAAGAACGAAAGAAUUAAUAUGAUAACCAUGGAAGAGAAUCUUGAGCAAACCAUCGUAAGAAUUGAAAACGAACGAAGGGGAACGAAUCACCGGUAAGGAUUAUCAAAUGAACGAAGGUACUUAAGAGAAAACAAGAUGCAAGGGAACAGAGGGAUCAUGAACUGAUUAGAGGAUAUUUGAAUGAUGCACCGGUAAGAUUUUGAGAGCAAUAGCUGAAAGCUGAGAAUGAAUAAUUAUGAGACGAUGGGCUCCAGAGAAUCAAACUGAAAAGACUCUUUAAUUGCUUGGGAUGGGUGAAAAUAAUUCUCACAAUCGAAAACAAUUAUGAGAGGAUGGCAACAAGCUAGAAUCACAAUUCUUGAAGAGAAUGGAGCAGAUUGAGGAGAAACUCUUCUUCGGUCUUCAAAAUCUGAGAAUGACGACGAGAAACACCACCAUGAAUUGUAGAGAUACUGCGGGAUGACGAAUAGAAAGGUUGAGCCAAUGAUUAGAAGAAUUAUAAGAUCUUGGAGAAAACAUCUGACUGAUGAUAAUUCAUUCUUACGUCAAAAUUCGAAAAGAAUUUUUAAGGAUAUCUCCGGGAAAAUAAGAAGAGUCAGGUAAGAUCCUGGGAAAAGACCUGUGGGUUAGGGCCCACUCAAAGAAACACCGUUGAAGUGAUUACUUGAAAAGGGAGAUAGCACCGGUUGAAAUAAAUGACUUGGAUGAGAUAACAUCCUCGAAAGAGCUUGAACGAAUGUAGAGUGGAAACACAAAUCUUCGAGAUAUCUUGAACACUCCGGAACAAUUGAAUAGAGAGACAUGGAUGGAUAUAAGAAACACCGGCAUGAGAAGGUAUUUGAAACGAGGAAAAGAUAUGAUCAACAAAGCUUGACUUGGUUCCACCGGAGAAGAAAGAGAAUGAAUAAUGAUGAACUUGAGGCUCCGUUAGUAUCUUCAUGAGAAUCACCGGAUAAGAAUAUUGACGGAAAAAGAUGGACAGACUUCACAAGAAUAAGAGGAUACUUGAUUAAGGCAUCAGAUUCCUUGAAGAAAAGGGUGGGUGGGCGGAGAAAACUAAGGCAACUUGGAGACAGAUGAAACAACAUCGUUGAGAAGAACUGAUACUUGAUCUUGCGGAUGUUGAAAUGAUCAGAUCCACUUGAAGAGAAACACGCCGGUGAAAAGAAAUUGAAAUGACAAACUUGAUGAUCGAGAAGGAUUAGUAUUCACCUCGGAGUAUGAGAACACCGUUUAGAGAAGGUAUGGAAUCAACAUUUGACUUCGAAGCAACUCGAAUACCACAACUCAAAACAAAACAAAGGAUUGGCUAGCAAAAUAAGCCGGAACAAACAUAUGAUAGAGAUUUCGUCCGAAGUUUUCGUGGUGGGGCCUACACGGGCUCGAUUGUACAACACCAUCAUGUACAAGGCAGUGCACAUGACAUACGAAGCGUCCCCGAGUCGGCAUAGCCAAGGACUCUUUAAGAGACAACGAGACCACUAUAAAACCGACCGUGGAUAGGCGGACCACUAGACGUCGAACCCCAAUUUUGUAUCAUACAUCUGUCGGAAAGAUAUCCUAAGAGCUACUUGAAUUCCCACUUAUAAACUCCCAAAAUUUUCCAGUUAUGCAAUCAAGUGUUGGGGAUACAUGGGAAGCAUAAUAUCUCACCCAAAACUAACAAAUCCUACAUCCAGCUGUAUCCAUCCUUCAACACAUAACCAAGAAACCUUCGGAAAUCAUUUACAUCAACCUUCGAAAAGCAUCCGUUAUACGAGUUAUGGCAAUACUCCCGAACUCCCACCCCAGUAUUGGGUGGCGUCGAGGUUAUCUCACCAACAACUGCAUAAAAGAGAUUUUCGAUGUCGGCGAAACUCGGGUAUUCCAGAACUGCAACGAUAAAAUUGUGACGACAACACCUCGGAGCUCAACUCCCCGGGACACUGCCACAACCCCUAAAUGUUAGGAGGCACCAAGAACAAUGUUCUCGUCACAAAACCAUCAGAACGAUUCCAAGAUACCCGUGUGAUCCUAAAUUUUUUUUAGUGAUAUUUGAGAAGAGAAGAGUCAAAACUCUACGUCAGGAUGCCUCACUAGAGCGACGAAGGGGCUGAGGAGUAAAAAAGAAAUCCUACUCUCCGAUAUAUAUAAUCCUAUAAGACUCAAAACAUUUUUCUAGACUCAACAAUGCCAGCGAUUCGAGCAAGUAGGGGGCUCCUAAAGUCGGGGAAGGCUCUGAUACCAACUUGUAACGUGCUCGAUGUGGCUAUAUCUCCCACGUGUCGAAGCACGACUUAGAGGCAUAACCGCAUUGAAAGCAAUGUCACAAGUGAGGUAAUCUUCACACAACCCAUGAAUAUAACAUUACAUCAUCCAGAUACACACAAGGUCCGACUACGGAACCAAAAUAAAAGAAGACUACCCCAAAUGCUACACAGAUCCCCGAUCGUCCCAACUGGGCUCCACUACUGAUCAACUGGAAACGGAACAACACAAAGGACAAGAUCUUCAUCGAGCUCCUCCUUGAGCUUGGUUGCGUCACCUGCACGAUUCAACGGCACCUGCAAGCUGGUUUUGGAAGUAUCUGUGAGUCACGGGGACUCAGCAAUCUCACACCCUCGCGAUCAAGACUAUUUAAGCUUAAAGGAAGGGUAAAAGGUUUGAGGUGGAGCUGCAGCAAACGACUAGCAUAUGUGGUGGCUAACAUACACAAAUGAGAGCGAGAAGAGAAGGCAAAAGCACGGUCGAACAACUAUGAUCAAGAAGUGAUCCUAGAACAACCUACGUCAAACAUUACUCCAACACCGUGUUCACUUCCCGGACUCCGCCGGAAAGAGACCAUCACGGUUACACACGCGGUUGAUGUAUUUUAAUUAAGAUCAACUUCAAGUUUUCUACAACCGGACAUUAACAAAUUCCCAUCUGCCCAUAACUGCGGGCACGGCUUUUGAAAGUUCAAAUCCCUGUAGGGGUGUCCCAACUUAGCCCAUCACAAGCUCUCACGGUCAACGAAGGAUAUUCCUUCUCCCAAGACAAUCCGAUCAGACUCGGCAUCUCGGUUACAAGACAUCCUCGACAAUGGUAAAACAAGUCCAGCAAGACCACCCGCUGUGCCGACAAAUCCCGAUAGGAGCUGCACAUAUCUCGUUCUCAGGGCACACCCGAUAAGCUAAGCAUACGGGAGCCAACGUAACCCAAGUUGCCAAGGGAUGGCCCCGCACGGUGCUCUGGGUUGGACCAACACUUAGACAAGCACUGGCCCGGGGGUUUAAAUAAAGAUGACCCUUGGGCUGGCCUAACCCAAGGGAAAAAGAGGCUAGGUGGCAAAUGAUAAACCCAAUGUUGGGCCUUGCUGGAGGAGUUUUAUUCAAGGCGAACUGUCAAGGGGUUCCCAUUAUAACCCAACCGUGUAAGGAACGUAAAAUCCGGGAACAUAACACCGAUAUGACGGAAACUAGGGUGGCAAGAGUGGAACAAAACACCAGGCAUAAGGCUGAGCCUUCCACCCUUUACCAAGUAUAUAGAUGCAUUAAUUAAAUAAGAGAUAUUGUGAUAUCCCAACAAUAAUAUCCAUGUUCCAACAAGGAACAAGCUCCAAUCUGCACCUGCAACUAACACCGCUAUAAGAGGGGCUGAGCAAAAGCGGUAACAUAGACAAACAAUGGUUUGCUAGGACAAGGUGGGUUAGAGGCUUGGCUUAACAAUAUGGGAGGCAUGAUAAGGAAGUGGUAGGUAUCGCAACAUAGACAUAGCAAAAGAGUGAGCAUCUAGCAAGCAAAGAUAGAAUUGAUUUCGAGGGUGUGGUCAUCUUGCUUGAGAUCCCGCAAGGAAGAAGAACGAGUCCAAGAAGAAGACAAACGGACGUAGUCGAAUGGUUCCUCACAAACGCGACGUUAUCGGAACCAACCCGAAGAGCAACACAGGAAAGAAGCACACAAUAUAGUAAACAACCAACACAUGAGCAUGGCAUGAUAUGCGGGAUGCGGUAUGCGAUGCAUAUGCAUGAUUUGGAAAGAAAUGAUUGAACCUGGCCUCAAUUUGGAAAUCCAAGAGUGCCACUGGAAAUGUGAGGUGAUUUUGGUUGAAAUCGAUAUAAAGAUCACCGGAAUCGGAUGCAUGGUUUGGAAAUGGCAAGCAAAACAAAUAUGGCACCGGUCUGCGAUAAUCAGCAAGUGACCAUCUAAAUGCAUCAAGAACAACAUGCUACAACAUUCAAAUAUGACAACAAAAUACAUGGCAGGGAUCCACUCAUGAUGCUUGACAAAAGAUGAAUACUGAGCUACGGCUAAAUCACUCAAUAGCAAGCUCAAACAAGCAUGGCAAAAGUGCAAAAGAUAACAGGUUUCAGACUUGGUGAAAUAAACAGGAUAUCCGGAAUUUCUCAUCAGGAAGCAAUAUUCAGAGCACGAUAACUACAUGCUACAGGAACAUAUCAUGGCAAAGCAAGGCAUGGCAUGAAGCUACUCUAAGCAUAUAACAAAAGUCCCUUAGUUACCAUGAGCCAAAAGGGAUCAGAAAAUACAAUUGCAAGCAUGUGAACAUAGCAAAAACAUAAACAGAUUCAGACUUAGUGAAAAACUGGAGCAUGCAAACAAAUUAACAAGUAGGCAUGUUUACGAGCUCGAUGCACUCACUACAGAGCAUGGCAUGACAAACUAAGCAUACACCCAUGAAGAAGACAUGGCAUAGAAGCUAGAAAUGGCAAGAGCAACAACAUAGCAUGCACGGAACAACAACAACAACAACAAGCUUGGCAAAAUUGCUAAACAUGUUAACAAUCUGCCAGGAACAUUUUAUAGCAAAAGUAGAGCUCGAUUGACUCAAGCUAGGUUGCUCCAUAAUUGCAAACAAAGACAUGGAUGGAUAGGGCACAACAAUAUUAACAAAACAUCCUUACCGAUCAUCCUCAAAAGAGGCACGGAUCAAUAGGAAACAACAUGAACAUAUGGCAUAAAAAUAAUGACAGGGCAAGGACUUAGUGAAAUUCAAAGUCCCUGAAAUCAGCAUCAUUGAGUAAGCUACUUUGCAUGCUUGUGCUAGUCACCACAAAGAUCACAAAAAUACAUGGCAUACACCCAUGUAAAGAUGUCAUGGCAUAUAACAAAAGACAUGUAGAGCUCAGGGUCAUAGCAUGCACAUAUUAAUCAUGGCAAAAAUGACAAAAGGCCAUUUGCUGAAACAGAUCUGACAUAAUCCUCACAUAGCCCUCUUCCAACAGCAUUUCGGGUAUCAAGAUGAGCUCAAAUGAAAAUGAUGCAAUGAGAUGAAAUGAUGUACUCGUCGAGACGAACAUUUUGAUAUGCUACAUGCACGAAUCAGAGCUACGGUUGAUGAGUUAUGAUGCUCUGAAAAAUGCAUAAAAAUACUGGAACUUAGACGAAAUUCAACCUCCGGAGAGAGUCAACGGGAUCUCGUGGUACGGGACGGCGCGGUGCGGGACGGAGGGAGGCGUUUGGAUGGCCGAGCUGGUGGAUCUGGUCCACCCGACCAGAUCCGGCCGGCAAGGGGCUCUGGCGAGGGCGGGCCAUCUCCGGCGAGGCACGGUGGCGCAUGGCGACAAACUCCGGCGUGGCUGCCGGAGCACGGGACGGCAAGGAGGCUUCGGCGAGGCGGCGGCUCCACGGGAAUUGCGGCGAGGACCGGUGUCAGGGCGACGGCGCGGAGCGGCUCCGGCGGAGCUCACCGGCGCGGGGGUCGGUGAAGGCGGCGAGGCGGCGGAGCAGGGCGGAGGCGACGGCCAGUGCUGAGGAGGAAGACGACGGGGCGCGGGGCGUGGUCGCGGGCCGGGAGGGCUGGACGCGGGCCCGAGCGGGCCGCGGCGAUGUGGGCACGCCAGCACGGCGGCUCGGCCAGUCGCGGAGCGACACGUGGUGGCGGAUGGCGACACGGACGUGUCCGGCACGGUGGAAGAAAUGUCCGGCGGCGGCGGGGAGAGUUAGGGUAGGGUUUGCACCGCGAAUUUCGGAGGGGAUCACAUAUUUAUAGGUAAAGGGAGCUAGGAGGGUCCAAAUGAGGUGCGGUUUUCGGCCACGCAAUCGUGAUCGAACGACCGAGAUGAUGGAGGAGGUUUAGUUGGGGUUUGGGCCAGUUUGGAGGGGUGUUGGGCUGCAACACACACGAGGCCUUAUCGGUCCCUCGGUUAACCGUUGGAGUAUCAAACGAAGUCCAAAUGUUAUGAAACUUGACAGGCGGUCUACCGGUAGUAAACCAAGGCCGCAAGACAAGUCUCGGUCCAAUCCGAAAACGUUUAACACCCGCACACGAAAAGAGGUAGAAAGGGACACCGGAUGACAUAGGAGCGCCGGAUUGCAAAACGGACAACGGGGAAAAUGCUCGGAUGCAUGAGACGAACAUGUUUGCAAAUGAAAUGCACAUGAUGACAUGAUAUGACAUGCAUGACACGCAAGCAAUGACAAGGCAACAACAGUGAAUAACUGGAGGACACCUGGUGUUAGGGAACGUAGUAAUUUCAAAAAAAAAUCAUACGCACACGCGAGAUCAUGUGAUGCAAAGCAACGAGAUGGGAGAGUGUUGUCUACGUACCCUCAUAGACCGAAGCGGAAGCGUUGAUGCAACGUAGAGGAAGUAGUCGUACGUCUUCCCGGUCCAACCAAUCCAAGCACCGUUACUCCGGUACCUCCGAGCUCUUGGCACACGUUCAGCUCGAUGACGCUCCCCGGGCUCCAAUCCAGCAAAGCUUCGGGGAGGAGUUCCGUCAGCACGACGGCGUGGUGACGAUCUUGAUGUUCAACCGUCGCAAGGCUUCGCCUAAGCACUACUACAAUAUGACCGAGGUGGAAUAUGGUGGAGGGGGGCACCGCACACGGCUAAGGAACGAUCACGAAGAUCAACUUGUGUGUCUAUGGGGUGCCCCCUGCCCCUGUAUAUAAAGGAGUGGAGGAGGGGAGGGCCGGCCCUCUCUAUGGCGCGCCCUAGGGGAGUCCUACUCCCACCGGGAGUAGGAUUCCCCCUUUCCUAGUCCAACUAGGAGUCCUUCCAUGUAGUAGGAGUAGGAGACAAGGAAGGGGAAGGGAGAAGGGAAGGAAGGAGGGGGCGCAGCCCCUCCCCCUAGUCCAAUUCGGACUAGGCCUUGGGGGGGCGCGCGGCCUGCCCUAGGCAGCCCCUCUCUCUUUCCCGUAUGGCCCAAUAAGGCCCAAUACUUCUCCCCCCGUAUUCCCGUAACUCCCCGGUACUCCGAAAAAUACCCGAAUCACUCGGAACCUUUCCGAUGUCCGAAUAUAGUCAUCCAAUAUAUCGAUCUUUACGUCUCGACCAUUUUGAGACUCCUCGUCAUGUCCCCGAUCUCAUCUGGGACUCCGAACUCCUUCGGUACAUCAAAACUCAUAAACUCAUAAUAUAACUGUCAUCGAAACCUUAAGCGUGCGGACCCUACGGUUCGAGAACAAUGUAGACAUGACCGAGAUACGUCUCCGGCCAAUAACCAAUAGCGGGACCUGGAUGCCCAUAUUGGCUCCUACAUUUUCUACGAAGAUCUUUAUCGGUCAGACCGCAAAACAACAUACGUUGUUCCCUUUGUCAUCAGUAUGUUACUUGCCUGAGAUUCGAUCGUCGGUAUCCAAUACCUAGUUCAAUCUCGUUACCGGCAAGUCUCUUUACUCGUUCCGUAAUACAUCAUCCCGCAACUAACUCAUUAGUUGCAAUGCUUGCAAGGCUUAAGUGAUGUGCAUUAUCGAGAGGGCCCAGAGAUACCUCUCCGACAAUCGGAGUGACAAAUCCUAAUCUCUAAAUAUGCCAACCCAACAUGUACCUUUGGAGACACCUGUAGAGCUCCUUUAUAAUCACCCAGUUACGUUGUGACAUUUGGUAGCACACAAAGUGUUCCUCUGGCAAACGGGAGUUGCAUAAUCUCAUAGUCAUAGGAACAUGUAUAAGUCAUGAAGAAAGCAAUAGCAACAUACUAAACGAUUGGGUGCUAAGCUAAUGGAAUGGGUCAUGUCAAUCAGAUCAUUCAUCUAAUGAUGUGAUCCCGUUAAUCAAAUAACAACUCUUUGUCUAUGGAUAGGAAACAUAACCAUCUUUGAUUAACGAGCUAGUCAAGUAGAGGCAUACUAGUGACACUCUGUUUGUCUAUGUAUUCACACAUGUAUUAUGUUUCCGGUUAAUACAAUUCUAGCAUGAAUAAUAAACAUUUAUCAUAAAAUAAGGAAAUAAAUAAUAACUUUAUUAUUGCCUCUAGGGCAUAUUUCCUUCACCUGGUACAUUGGUCUCGGGGCGCUACAGGAUAUUACUACUGGACGUAAACCGGCCAGGGGUAACCGAAUUAACUUUAUGAAGACUAGAAGCCCAUGAAGAAGUAAGAAUGAUGGCGCUUUAUGAAGGCCCAAGGCCCAGAGGCGAGUUAAGGCAUGUAGAUGUUAACUGACCUUAUUAUGUAACUUGCAUUGUAAGAUAGGAAGGGUAGAGACCGAACCAGACACGUUUAUGAUCCGGCUUCGGGACUCUGUAAACCGGCGGGCGUCAACCUAUGUAUAUAAAGGGACGACCCGGCAGCGAUUUAGGAACAACAGACAACAACUCGAGAACCAGACAAAGCGGAUUCACUCCCUGGUCUUUGAAACCCUAGCAAUACCAAUCACAACUAGACGUAGGCUUUUACCUUCAUCGAAGGGGCCGAACUAGUAUAAACUCCCCCUGUCCCCUUGUCCGGUUUAACCCCUUUAAGCUAACCGGUUGCGAUGGCUCCACGACUAAGUCCUUUCAUGAGGACAUGUACCGUGACAAACCCACGACAGUUGGCGCCCACCGUGGGGCUAUCGCACGAUGGUUUCGAGUUCUUAAAGGGCAGCUUUGAUGGACUCAAGGGAUACGCUAUGGGCCGGAUGACAAAGAGUCGUCGCGGCAAGCUCUACAUCGACAAUGCAGGAUGGGGCCCCGAGGCCGACUCAAUUGAAUACGGGUACCGGGUCCCCUUUGGUGGGAUUCACGUCUUCAUCGGCAGGAUUGGUGAACCGGGCCCUGAGCUAGACACCUGCACCGACAUCAUCGAGACGGCUCAGCGUGCAAGCCCUUCCCCGGUUCAGCCCAUGGCAAAGCAUGUUUUCGUAGGUGUCAUCCACGGAGCAGAAUAUGAGGACGGACCGACAUCUAAUGGAGAAACCGUCGUCUGCUUCGACGGCGAGUCUUCUGGGGAGACUGAAUCGCUUUAUCAGCUGCAGGACGGCCGAAUUAGUGGGGGUUCCGAGGGCAACAGUAUUCCAGACUCCCCUGAUCUACCAAACUGGGCAGCUAUCUUCAUGGCCGGUACACAAUCAGCGCCCCACUCAUCGACCGCCGCAGCAAUGCUCUCUGGUUCAGCAACAACCAUGCCAGCAGGGGCAGGGGGCUCUGCGCCACCUCCGGCUCAAGUUCUGUCUGACUUGUUCGACGCUUUGGCAACAUUGAUGGUCGCAGAGGUGGAUGCAGCGGCCCGGGAUCAGCACAACACGGAGAUCGCAAAGGUAAAGGAUCAGAUAACUCAGGCUAAAGUGGACCUAGCAGUAGAGAACGCUAGGAUGGCUAUAGAACGGGCCGAGUUGGAAGCUCAGGCCUACCGGCUUAGGCUGGAUUAGAAUGCUUCAGAGGAAGUCAUGAGAAGAAGAUACCGAUCGCAUCUCCCGCCGAGUUAUGAGCCAAGGAAUCUCUUCAAUACGCCAGGAGCAGGAACAAGUAACCAGCCAAUAGUAAACCGGACGGAGGCACCAGGGACAGGAGCACCGGUUCAGCCGCGCACGACGGACCCACCUCGUCAGAACAACAUUGUGCUGCAGUAUGUUCCAACACAUCCUGGGCAGUACUCCAACCCGUUGGACAACAUUGUGGCUGCCGCUUCACGCUUGGCAGCCCUCCCAACCGACGGUGAAUCACCAGUUGCUAUUGAGGCACGACGGGCCAGAGAUCUCCUUCAAACAGCUCUAAACCAGCAGCAGGCAUAUUCGCACAGUCGUGAGAGGAUUCAUUCCACUCCCCGUCCAAGCCGGAGCUAUAGCAGGCACGUUGAGGAUGAACCGGCCGUGUCAAGCAGUGCACGUCGCCGUAAUUCGCCGCGAGGGCACAACCCGGUAGGGGGAGGCGCUAAUGCGCAGGAUGUGGUGGAUCAUGGUCGCGCGCGUCGAGAGGCCGAGUUAGCAGCUCUGCACGGAGCUCGUCAACAUACUCCGGUUCACCCUACCGCUUCAGUAGAGCCAGGUGUGAUAUUCAGUUCCUUAGGGGUGCCGUUUCUCACCCUCGCUUUGCGUAAUGUGAGGUUACCCAAGGACUUCAAGGGACCUCGUAAGGUACCCAAUUACACCGCCGAUCUGCAACCAGAGGCAUGGGUUGAAAGCUACGAGAUGGCAAUGGAGAUGUUAGAUGUGGAUGAGGCAGUAUGUGCUAAAUACUUUACCAUGAUAUUGAAAGGAACAGCUCGCACUUGGUUAAAAAGCUUACCAACUAACUCUGUGGGAUCAUGGGCCGAAUUGAAGCACCGGUUUAUCCAGAACUUCAAAGAUACUUGUAAGCAACCCAUGUCAAUUGUGGAUCUGGCCGCUUGUGUCCAAGAGGAUGGGGAGUCCACGACCCAUUGGGUAAAUCGGGUCUCAGCUAUUCUGCAUUCAUCGGAUCGUAUCAAUGCAGAUACUGCAGUGCUAACAUUGGAGGGCAAUUGCCGUUUUCUGCCGCUCAAACAGAAGUUAGGAAGGCACGAACGUCACUGCAAUGAUAUGUCAACGCUUAUGGCCGCUUUGGUUAAGUACGCCGAUUCAGAUAAUACCAAAGACUCUGACUCAGAGGAGGACAAACUUGGGAAAGGGAAAAAGAACGGCAACACCAAGGGUCAGCAACAUAAUCCGGCAGGUCAUGGGAACAAUGGUAAACGCAAGGCCGACAACAGUCUGGACUUUGUGGCUAACACCAAUGCUCAGGAGAAUGGUCAGCGUCGUAAGGGUAAGCAGCCCCAGAGGGGCAGAGGUUCAGGCCCCAAUUUGGAGUGCCUGUUAAAUCAACCCUGUCCGAAGCAUGGAUCAAAGGAGAAGCCAGCAUCACAUCUUUGGAAGGAUUGUUACAUCAUGCGGGAUUUCAAGAACUCCAUUAUGUUUCAGUAUGAUAAUGGCCCGCUGGGCGGUUCAGGAGGUGGUUUCCACGGGCCGGGUUACGGAGGCGGCAGCUCCGGUUCAGGAUUUCAGGGCAAUCAAACCGGACACGGUAAUCAAGGGAACCAUGGCAACCAAGGAGGUUACAACCAUCAGGGGAACCAGCAGCAACAGUAGCAGUCGGGUUAUCAGAGCAAUCCUAAGCAGCUAAAUAGUGGGCAAUAUCAUGUCUUCACCACUAGCUUGUGUAAGCAUGAUCAGAAGCUUCACAAGAGGGCAGUAAACUCUGUUGAACCGGCGGUGCCUCAGUAUUUGCGCUGGUCUAAGCAACCCAUUUUGUGGAGUAGAGAGGAUCACCCACCCCGGGUUGACAAUCUGGGUCACUUGGCCCUAGUAGUGGCCCCUCAAGUUAGGGGAUAUAAGUUCACUAAGCUACUCAUGGAUGGGGGAAGUAGUAUCAACAUUCUAUAUUAUGAUACCUUCCGUCGUAUGGGGUUGACAGAUAAGAGUCUUAAACCAUCAAACACUGUUUUCCACGGUGUGGUGCCUGGCAAGUCUGCAUAUCCAGUGGGCAAGAUAGCCUUAGAGGUGGCUUUUGGAGAUGACUAUGAUUCAAGGUCAGAAACACUGACUUUUGAGGUGGUGAAAAUCAAAAGUCCGUAUCACGCUUUGUUUGGGCGACCGGCUUAUGCUAAGUUCAUGGUGAGGCCGUGUUAUGUUUAUCUACAACUUAAAAAUGCCUGGUCAUAAGGGGACCAUCAUAGUACACGGGAGCAGGAAUAUCGCUUUGGAAUGUGAGGAAGGUGAUGCGGCUUAUGCUGAGUCGGUUUGUGCCACGGAGGAGCUGAAGUUUUAUAAAGACCAAGUUGAUCCGGCGGAUAUGACCUCUUUGAAAAAGCCAACUACGAAACACGAUCCAGCAUUGAAAUUUAAAUCGGCCACAGAUACUAAGAUGGUUGAUUUUGUUCCUGGCGAUUCAUCCAAGCAGUUCAGCAUCAGCGCUAACCUGGAUCCCAAAUAGGAAAGCGCGCUCAUCGAUUUCAUCCGUGAGAACCGGGACAUCUUUGCAUGGAAACCUUCUGACAUGCCAGGUGUACCGAGGGAACUCGUUGAGCACACACUUAACAUUGAUCCUAAGUUUAAACCGGUCCGGCAGUUUCUCCGCCGCUUCAAUGAAGAAAGGCGCAAGGCUAUUGGUGAGGAGGUAGCUCGGUUGUUGGCCGCAGGGUUUAUCGUGGAGGUCUUUCACCCAGAGUGGUUGGCUAAUCCGGUGCUGGUUCUUAAGAAAAACGGCACUUGGCGUAUGUGUGUGGAUUACACAGACUUAAACAAAGAUUGCCCUGCAGACCCCUUUGCCCUCCCUCGUAUUGACCAUAUCAUUGAUGCUACGGCGGGUUGUGACCGUUUGUAUUUUCUGGACGCUUAUUCUGGUUAUCAUCAGAUCAAGAUGGUAGUUAAGGACCAGGAGAAGACAACUUUCCUAACUCACUUUGGAGCCUUCUGCUAUGUCUUCAUGCCAUUUGGGCUCAAAAGUGCCCAGGCGACUUAUCGACGAUGUGUUCAGAAUUAUCUUCAUAAGAAGAGUGGACGCAAUGUUCAUGCAUAUGUGGAUGAUAUUGUGAUAAAGUCCAGGAAGGAGGAAACAUUGAUACAUGAUUUGAGAGAAACCUUUGACAACCUCCGGGUUUACAAGAUGAUGCUCAAUGCGGAAAAGUGUGUCUUUGGUGUUCCGGCAGGCAAACUCUUGGGUUUUCUGGUGUCAAAUAGAGGCAUUGAGGCUAAUCCGGAAAAAAAUUCAGCAAUUACAUCUUUGGCUAAACCGGCGUGUAUCAAUGGCGUUCAACGUCUGGCCGGCUGGAUUGCGGCUUUGAGCCGGUUUAUCAGUCGUCUUAGGGAGAAGGCUAUCCCUUUAUAUCAGUUGCUCAAGAAAACAGAUGAUUUUGUCUGGAGUGAGGCAGCUGAUAAAGCGUUGGAGGAUCUGAAGAGGCAGUUAGCUGAACCGCCUGUGCUUGCAGCACCGAUCGAUAAGGGGCCGUUAUUGCUAUAUGUGGCUGCUAAUGCCCGAGCUGUUAGCGUGGCUAUUGUGGUGGAGCGCAAGGAAGCUGGCAAGGAAUAUCCGGAUCAACGACCAGUUUAUUAUAUUAGUGAGGUGCUCAUUGAGUCAAAUCAGAGGCACCCACAUUCGCAGAAACUAGUGUAUGGAGUGUUUAUGGCCAGCCGGAAGCUUAAACACUAUUUUCAGGGUCAUCCUAUCAUAGUGGUCAGUUCAGCCCCUCUGGGAGAUAUCAUUCAAAACAGAGAAGCAACUGGCCGGAUUUCCAAAUGGGCUAUUGAGCUUGGACCUCACGGGCUCAAAUACAUACCUCGCACAACAACUAGAUCCCAAUCACUCGUGGACUUCAUCAAUGAUUGGACAGAAUUGCAGGCACCAGAGGAAAAGCCAGAUAACACGUAUUGGACUAUUCACUUUGAUGGAUCCAUGCAGUUGGAAGGCUCGGGGGCUGGAGUCAUACUAACUUCCCCAUGAGGUGACAAGUUUUGUUAUGUCCUUCAUUUAAUGUUCCCUUGUACUAACAAUGCAGCUGAAUAUGAGGCCUUACUCCACGGUCUUCGGAUGGCUAAGGAGAUGAACUUAAGCUGGGUUAAGUGCUUUGGGGAUUCAGAUCUGGUGGCCCAACAGGUGUGUGGCACUUGGGAUUCUAUAGACCCACUCAUGGCUACAUAUCGACGAGAGGUGGACAUAGUGGCUGGUCACUUCAAGGGUUAUCAGGUGGACCAUAUAGACCGGCGAAAGAAUGAAGCGACGGACGCUUUAAGCCGCCUUGGUUCUCAGCGUAAACCGGUCCCACCAAAUGUCUUUCUUGACGUGUUGCAUAAUCCGUCGGUCAAAGUACCAACAGAGAAGGAGUUGGCUAUUCCUGAUCCGGAGGCUCAAUUGGUGGCAGCUUUGCAUGUCAUACCGGAUUGGACAAUCCCAUACCUGGCUUACAUGAACCGGGGCGAGUUACCAGAGGAUGAAACCUCGGCCCGGCAGAUAAUUCGGCAUUCCAAAUCGAUGACUAUACUCAAUGGAGAAUUACAUCGUUACAGCGUCUCAGGGGCAAUUCAGCGUUGUGUUUCUCCUCAAGAGGAUUGUGAGAUUUUGUGAGAAAUCCAUGAAGGGGAUUGUGGUCACCACGCCGGUUCAAAGUCUUUGGUGGCUAAAGCUUUUCGCCACGGUUUCUAUUGGUUAACAGCUCAAGCUGAUGCUGAGGAUUUAGUCAGACGAUGUGACGGUUGUCAAAAAUUUGCACGUCGUGCUCAUAUUCCGGCUCAGGAGUUGAGGAUGAUUCCAAUAACAUGGCCGUUUGCGACUUGGAGGCUUGAUAUGGUUGGACCCUUUAAACGCUCCAAGGACAAAAAGACCCAGUUAUUAGUGGCAGUUGAUAAAUUCACCAAAUGGGUGGAAGCAGAGCCAGUCAGUAAGUGUGAUGCAGCCAUGGCGGUUCAAUUCAUCAAAAAGGUGAUAUUCCGAUUUGGCUUUCCACACAGUAUUAUAACUGAUAAUGGUACUAAUCUGUCAAAGGGAGAGAUGGAGGAAUUUUGCCAACGUGAGCACAUCCGGCUUGAUAUAGCAUCGGUGGCUCACCCCCAAUCUAAUGGUCAAGCGGAGAGGGCGAAUCAAGAAAUUUUGAGAGGUAUUAAACCCCGGCUUAUGGUUCCUUUGAAGCGGACACCGGGUUGUUGGGUGGAGGAAUUACCUUCUGUGUUAUGGAGCAUCAACACCACACCUAACAGAUCGACGGGUUACACACCUUUCUUCAUGGUUUAUGGAGCGGAGGCGGUUCUCCCUAGUGACAUCCGUCACGACUCGCCCCGUGUGGUAGCUUAUGUUGAAACUGAUAAUGAGACAACACGUCAGGAUUCUCUGGACCUGUUAGAUGAGGAGCGUGAUCUUGCAGCAGCACGUUCGACGAUUUACCAAUAAGAUCUCCGACGUUAUCACAGCCGCCGGGUUAAGACCAGAACUUUUCAAGAAGGCGAUCUGGUGCUCCGGCUCAUCCAGGAUCAGACUGAUAUGCACAAGUUAUCCCCACCUUGGGAAGGACCUUUUGUGGUCAGCAAGAAUCUGCACAACGGGUCAUACUACCUCAUUGAUGUUCGAGAGCACAAAGACUCACGUAAAUCGGAGGAGGAGACCAAGCGGCCAUAGAAUAUAGCUCUUCUUCGGCCUUACUAUACUUAAGCCACAUGCUUCUUCAUAUGUACAUAUUUAUGACAGUGUAUAUAUUAUAUAAUAAUCCGGAGCCUCGAAUAAAGCGGGGUCUCUAUUCUUUUUACAUCAUGUGUGCCUACAAGAGUUUCUACUGACAAAGCAAAGUUUUGUUAAACCGGUCUCUGUAGCCGCACGGAUACAAAGAGAUAUCACCAGGGGGCUUGGUUGUUGUCACACCAUAGCUACACCUCUUGAUCGGUUUAAACACCACAGAGGGAUUUCACUAGGGGGCUUGGUUGUUAUCAUACCAUAGCUACACCUCUUGAUGGGCAUUAAGCCACAAAGGAAAUUAGGUGGGGCCAAAGAGAGUGUUGCACAAAGCACAAACUCAAACAUGGCACCCACUAAGCACAACUCACAAAGUUACUUGGGGGCUCUUUGUGAAAAGAACAAAGACUUUGAAAGGACCUUUGUAAUUGGCUAUCAAGCCACGGCUUGGAAGCCUGGUGUAUUCACCUAAAACCCCGGGUUAACCUGCCUUCAUCAAGUAAGCCACUCCUGUCCAGGUAAUCCUGGUAUGACCCGCCGAACGUUUGACAAGUCAAUCUUAUACAGACCCUGAAAUUGUCAAAGUUAAAACGACGAUUGGUUAAUUGGAGGCCCAUCUUAAAAGGCUUUGUUAAAUGGUUUAACUCAGAGGCCUGGAAGCCCAUGAAAAGCCUCGAUUUGGAGCCUGGCAGCUCGUAAAAAGCCUCACAUGUUUCUUUUUCGAGUCCUAUUUGCUAAGUUUUUUCGCCUUUAUUGAGGUUCAUAAUGUCUUCUGAUAAACCAAUGUCCUUAACCUGGCUUGGCUUUCAACUACAAGUUGUCAGUACAUGAUCAGUUAUAAACCGGCAUUCGUUACCCCGGUCUGGUUUUUACUAACAAGUCACCAGUGUUAUAAGGAAACCCCGAUGUUUAUUAUAUCUCGGUACGGUUUAUUAUCAUAAUCCGGCAAAUUAAGGACAGAGUUAUCACUGCUCCGGAUUGGUGUUUACACCUUUACCAUACAAGCAGUUGGUCAGCCAACGAGGUAUGUUGCACAUGUUAUUUUUUAUAUACAAACUUUUAUUAUCCAUUCAAGUAUUGUCUAUUCUUGGGCAUCAUGACCCGUCCAGUGGUAAACCACUAGGACACCUUUCAAGUUCUUGUAUCCAGGAACACAAAUCAUCAUGGGUUAUGCAUAAAUAGAUCCCAAAAGGUGGAGCAAGUUUUCACAUUAUCAAAGCAUCACAAAACAUGCUCGAUGGCAUGACAGAUAAAGGAGUUUUUGCUAUCCUAUUACAUGAAGCUUCCAAACGGCUCCGAUUGAGUAGUCGUUUUUAAGCAUUGGCACACAAUAGCUGGUAAACUGGCUGCCGGUUUAAGACGCUUCGUCUGGACGGUUUGACGGUUGAGGGUCAGUUGGUGCGAUCACUUCUUCUUCAUCCCUUCCCAGACGCUGGAAAUCAACCGUUGACCAAUCGAUUCCAGUUAAAGCUUGAAACACGGCUUCUUCAUGGAUAAGGCUGGAGGGGUUAAUGUCAGGAGUGUAAGUAUGCUUACGGAUUGGAGGCACAAGUUCUUCGACUUCAUGGAUUUCGGCAGGCUGUCUCUUCCCUUCAGCGUCAUAAGCCGGUUGGAAAUGAGACAAUUAUGUCUCCUCUACCAGUUUGCUGGCUAUUGGCCGCAUUUCUUUGGUCAGCCUUCGGAGGUCAUCAUUGUCGAAGUUUGAACCGUCCUCCUUCACACCUGGAUAUCCUUUAAUGAUUUCUUCCGCUUCAAGGUCUGGAAUCCAUGCCUUGGCUCGGAUUAGUGCGGUUAAUGCUCCUGCUCUUGCAGCUGCCUUCUUCAGUUCGGUAAUCCGGGCUGGUAACAUGGCCAGCUUCUCAAGAGUUUCCUUUAUCAGUGAUGGCACUGGUUUAUUGUAAGCCGCAAUACAAAUCGCACGCUGGGACCCAAAGUACAGCUGUUCAAUCAAGGUAUAAGCCGCUUUAAGCUUCAUCCGCAUAUCUGUGCCCAGAUGAGCAAUAUGAGUGCUUGUCAUGGUUUAAAAUCAGCACUCUGGUAAAUGAUAAGGUUUCAUGAAUUGGACAAACUGCAUAAGGAGAUACUUACCAAAGACAGCGAAAGUCAUGGCGUUGAUUUGCCGUUUCAAACUAGUUAGUUCAUCCACAACUGGCUUCAGGGCUGCUUCGGCAUCUUCAACUUUUUUUGUUAAACCGGCCUUCUCGGUUUCCCAAUCAGCAUGUUCUUUGUUAAAAGCCUCCUUUAGCUUUUCCAUAGUUGUCAAAGCUUUGGUCAGCUCCUCUUUGGCUUUCAUAGCCUCUGCUUGUUGGGACUUCACGCUCUCUUGCAAAUCAGCGGUUCGGGCAUCUCUAUUGCUUAGCUCGGCCUGCAACAGUGAAGAUAUGUCAACAACAGGAUAUGUAUUUUCUAAGUACAAAGCGUAUAACAAGUUAUGCACUUCAUACUUGGGGGCUAAUGCCUAUUUGCUCUCAUUCACUACAUUUUUUAUAAAGUCUCCAGCACAAUGCAAGCAUUAUCCUUGACACUUGGGGGCUAAUGUACAUCUGUUCAAAACGGACGCAUAGAUUUCAAGGCUCGGAUUACCUUGCAAAGUUAAACCAGCCUUUGGGGGCUACGUUAAGGAAAUCUACAUAAUUGCAGUGGUAAAAUAUUGGUUUUUAAGGACCUGACAUUUUGAGGGUCAGCAGGAGAGGAUUAAAGUGUUACAAAGUCCCGGUUUAAGAUUAAUCAUCAUAAAAUGGCCCUUGGGGGCUACUUGGGCUAGUGUUUCAACUUUGGAAUUAAGAAGUAAAGGGAGAUGAAAAUACCUCAUAGCGUUCCUUCAUCAGGUUCACUAAACAGGCUUCAUAGUCACGGUUUGAGUGAAGACGGUUUAAAAACCCGGAGUGAAGUUCUUCAACAUUGAGAUGAGCAUAACUUGAUAAGUCAUUGCUCCAUUUACCCUUUUCCCUGGCAGCACGCUCCUCUUUGGCACUAUGUUGGGCUAAGAUGACAGGAUGGCCAGGAGAGUUGUGGCCCAUGCCAGUAAUGAUAACAUCAACUCCUUGGCCUUUAGUAGUAUCAGUGCCUUUCACCGGACUAGCACGGUUUGGAGCUUCCGGUUCAGUAUCAGGCAUAGCAGGAGCAACUUCUGGUUGUUCAUCAACAUUCUGGUCUUGAAGGGGCGGUUCAUCAAAGGUAGCUUCAGGAUGAGGACCCUCCGGUUCAUGAGUUUGGUCCAGUUCACCUAUUUGCUCUUCUUCAAAAUCUGCCUGGUCUUCUGACGGAUUGUUGACCCGAGCUUUCUUGCUGGGUCUGGCUUUGGCUCCGCAAACAAAAUUACAAGAGGUUUAGCAUCUUAUUCAAAGAUUGGCAAACGCAUUUGAAGGAAGGGUUUGAAUGCUUACCCAGCUACAGUCUUAAGAGGGGGGAGUUGGGUUGCUGUUGACUCGCCAGAAGAUGAGGGAGGUGUCACCUCAUAAUUUGAAUCGGACAGAUUAAGAGGUUGUCUGAAAUAACCUGCCUUGGGAUAAGAAUUGUCAGAAGUGGGAGAGACCUCAGAUCGGCGCUUUCGAACCGGGGUAUCAGGUAAACCGGCCGAAGUGACCUAUUGGCCACUCUGCCGGGUUGUCCGGCGAGCUUCAUGCUGCUGUGUCUUCAAAAUAAAUGUUGGAUCCAAGUAAGCAAGAGGAUGAGAAAAGCUUACUUUCCGGAUUGCUUGACGGGUUUUUUUGUGUUGGCAUAGAGUCUGACCCGGAGGAAAGGGUAAUUACCUCUACAUCAUUAGCCUGGCUGCCUUCUACAUCCUCCUGAUAAAGAUCAUUGUUAAUGAGGUGCAUGAAAAGGGAGCCAAGUGAGUCAAGUUCUACCUCAACUUCCGGAUCAUCUGCAUCUUCAUCAAGCUCCAUGCUGAUCCGGUCAGCCGUUUUCCACUUUGAGGUACGCUUGACAGCUUUGGUUUUGGGACGGGAUGGCUUUGCCGCUUUAUCUAUGGAUUUCCGUUUCCAGAAGGGAUCAUCACCAUGUUCAUACAUAAACAGAGGAAGGUUCACAAGUUGAACAAAUCAAAAGAUAUCAAAGAUAAAAAGGAAACAUCGUGCUUACAGCAGACGGUUUAUUCUGAGUGUAGAAUGGGCUCAAGCCGAUUUGGCGACAGACUGAUUCCGGUUCAUUCAAAAUUUUCUUAACGCUUUCAGUGACCUCUUCAUCGGUUACCUGAAUGUUGAUGUGGCGUUGGGGGUCUUCAACCUCACCGGUAUACUCACACAUUAAACCGGGGCGGCGGCUUAGUGGCAAGAUGCUCCACGAUAUCCAGCAACGCACAAAAUCAACGGCUGUUAAACCGUUGGCCAUAAAGGCCCGGAGCUUGGCGAGUUGAGGGGCAUAUUUAGCCCGUUCCGCGGAGCUUAAAUGUUGUGGGAGUGGAUGAGUGUUGGAAAGCCGGUGAUCACGAUAGCCUGGAAGAGGGUUUUCAUCUUCAAGGGAGGUAUCUAUGCAGUAGAACCAAGUCUGGUUCCAUUCCUUAGGGUGACUAUGCAGUUUGACAUGAGGGAAUUGAACUUCCUUCCGCUUUUGAAUAGAAACACCACCAAGUUCAGUGUUGGGACCAUUUACAAAUUCUAUACGCCGGUUCAGAUGAAAGAAGUCCCGGAACAGCUCAGCACUCGGUUCUUCUUGUAAGUACACUUCACAGAAGACCUGGAAGUUGCAUAGAUUGGAUACCGAGUUGGGUCCGAUAUCUUGAGGAUGGAGUUGGAAACUGGCAAGCACAUCUCAGUAAAACUUUGACCCUGGCGGUUUGAAACCACGGCCUAUGUGGUCGACAAAGACCACAACCUCACCCUGCCUCGGGGUUGGAGGAUUUUUUGCUCCUGGAACUCGCCAUCGAAUUUCAGUUUUCUUAGGCAAGGUGCCUAUGCUGACCAUUCCGUUCAACUGUUCCUCGAUGACCCGGGAACGAGCCCAGUUGCAAGCAACAAAUCGUUUGGCCAUUGUGAAACGAAAAGAUGGAAAAGAAAUGCUGGUUUACAAAUCAUUCAUGAUGACAUGCAAGAUGCAAUGGAAUAAAAGACAUACCGAUAUGUGAAAUUGCAUAAACUGGAGACUAAUGCAAUAAUGAAUAACAAGGCCAUAUCGGAACAAGGGUAUACAGAUACUGUUAAACCGGAGUAUAACAAUGGGGGUAAAAGGCUCCUCCAGAUUACCAGAGGGCUAAUGGUAUAGAUUGCUUAUACAAAGGUAAAUCGCCAAAGUGAUAAGAGGGUACAGAUCUAAGGCAAAAACGACUAGGUAAGGUAAAACAGGUUCCACAAAGGGACAUGGAUAUUUUGGAUCUACUGAAAGACAGGAAAGCAAAAAUAUUUUGACCUAAAAGGGUUGGUCCCGAAGCAGUUCGUAAAAGUUCAGAUCAGUUCUUAUGCACAUAAAGGUUUGUGGUGAUAGAGGAAGAUAAACCAUUACGCGGAACAUAUCAACAUUGAGAUUUUUUAUCCAUUGAUUAAGGAGGAACAGGAAAGAGCAGCACCAGAACUCUGAUGAACUUCAAUGAACUGCGAAGAACAAGGAAACCCUAGAUAGAUCUACAAGGGGGGAAAGAAAAGGACUUAUAGUGACUAUUGAAGCAACGGAGGAAUGCCGCAGCUCUCUGGUAACGGUCAGGUUGAUGCAGCGACCUUUUUCGAAGCAGAGGAGAAGCUCGGUGACGGUGGCGGCGCUCAGGGGCAGAGGUGUCGCGAGGAGGAAGAAGCGAAGGAGACGAAGGGGAAAAGUGAUAAGGAUCCAUGUCCCUAUUUAUAAGGCGGAGUGAUAAAACGACAAGUGCGGGAAUCGAGGAGCUCAAAAUGGAUAGUUAAUAAUGGCGUCGCCUCGAUGACUGGAUAUGCAUUAAUGAAGGUAAUCUUCAGCUUCAAUGGAUAGAUGACCUUAGGGCAGUUUAUCAUGAUCCUAGAGUAUGACGUCACGACGGUUUACAAGAUCAAGGUGAAGAUGCAAAGGAGGAGUUUUUUCUAAGUAUUGAAGAUUGAUAUGAACAAGUUCAAACCAAUCUGGGGCCUAAUGUUGGGAAUAUUACUACUGGACGUAAACCGGCCCGGGGUAACCGGAUUAACUUUAUGAAGAUUAGAAUCUCAUGAAGACGUAAGAAUGAUGGCGCUUUAUGAAGGCCCAAGGCCCAGAGGUGAGUUAAGGCCUGUAGAUGUAAACCGACCUUAUUAUGUAACUUGCAUUGUAAGAUAGGAAGGGUAGAGACCAAACCGGACACGUUUAUGAUCCGGCUUCGGGACUCUGUAAACCGGCGGGCGUCAACCUAUGUAUAUAAAGGGACAACCCGGCAGCGGUUUAGGAACCACAGACAACAACUCGAGAGCUAGACAAAGCGGAUUCGCUCCCUGGUCUUCGAAACCCUAGCAAUACCAAUCACAACUAGACGUAGGCUUUUACCUUCAUCGAAGGGGCCGAACUAGUAUAAACUCCCCGUGUCCCCUUGUCCGGUUUAACCCCUUUAAGCUAACCCGUUGCGAUGGCUCCAUGACUAAGUCCUUUCAUGAGGACAUCUGUCGUGACAAACCCACGACAAAGAGGCUGAGUCAAGGGAAUAAGUUAAGACAGAGCACAGGACGCUACUAACAAUAGCGUCCACCCCUGGACGUUCUUAGCAAUAGCGGCCGGACCUGGACGCUAUUAAUCACAGCAAAAAUGCUAGACCUAGGAAAGCAUCGUACGUAACCUACGUAAUUACCCUCCUCCCAUAACUAAACCGUCACCCCACCCCCCAUUUUCAGGGUGAGCCCGUGCGCUUAAUGAAAACCAAUGAAAACCUGCCAACUAAUUAUGUAGGCCUUUCCUUCGUAAGUCGCUACGUAGAUGUAGAAAAGCUCUAAUCACAGCGUCCUUCCUAAUUUCACAAUUUCCAGCUGCCCUUUAUGAGUUCCGUAAUUAGAGAAUUCUUAUUUAUUAUUAAUAAAAAAAUCGGGUUUUACAUCAACCAAGCAUCAUAGAAGGAUAACACACGCGCGCGGACAGACAUCCCGCUAGGGAUGCCAUAAGUACAAGACAUGAAGAAAGCACGGGAACUAAAGGGGCUUGCUUGAUCAUGACGAUGAGCUACAAGAUGCACCCUCGAUGUAGACAUGGUCAACCUUGGGUGCCCUUGUUAUUGAAGAAGAGCAGGCAACGCUCACCGACGCCGCGUCAGCAAGCAUAUAUGUUGAUCCUGUCUCCCAUGGAGAUACGGCUAUCCAUCACGAACUCCCUCAACCCAGGCCCAAAGAUCCGAUAGGCCAUGAUGCUACACCGUCGUACUGGAGCGCGGCCACCUUGUCGACGCCGGCCUCAACGUCAAUGAGGAUGGGCACUGCCAGAUUGUUCGGCAUGCCGAUGUGGCCAACCUGCUCCAGCUCCCGGAACAGCCUCGGGAUGGGGCCAGCUUGCACCAUCCCCCGGGUAAGCAGCAGUCCAUUAUGGCCUGGAGCGACGUCUGGCCACCACAUUACCUUGGAGAGCGCCCACUCGGCAUCAUACACGCCACCGACAGCCAUCAGCACCCGGCGACGCGGCGGACGAAGGAGGGGUCGGCCACGAGGGCGUGCCACCGCUUGCACGUGGUGGCACAACGAAGGGGGUGGCUGCAUCAGCGACGUGUGUGAGAAUCUCCAGGACGACGUCUUCCGGGAGGUCCGUCCGUUUGAUUUCCGCCCACGGAUUGAUCAUAUCGAAAUAGCCAAACGUAUGUCUUGUACCUUCUGAUCUGCUUUUAUUUUUCUUCUGACUGUGAAGAUGCGGUAAAUGUCUUGCCUCGGUACGAGGGGACGUGAUUCGUGUUUAUAGGCCGGGGCGCAGAUCCCUGUAGCGCAUACAAAGAGAUAGAAUACAUCUUGGAGAGGAAGAAAGAGAGAGAUAGAGAUAGCCACGGUUAAGCUAGUUAUCUAGGCUAACAAACUACCAGAAUAUCUCCAAGAGAUCUACAAUGUUGCACUAUGCACUGAACCUUAUAUGUUUAACACCCUCCCAUAAUCACAACUUUGUUAAGUUGAGAUUACGUUUGAAUUCUUCAAAACUCUUUGUAGGCAAUGCAUUGGUGAAGCCAUCUGCAUCUUGAUCUCUGGAAUGCACAAACCGGAUCUCAAGCUUCCUGCUAGCAACCCUUUCUCGAACAAAGUGGAAGUUAAUCUCAAUAUGUUUUGUUCUUGCAUGAAACACGGGAUUUGCAGACAAAUAAGUGGCACCAAGAUUGUCACACCAAAGACAUGGAGCUUGAGUAUGUUUUAUCCCAAGUUCUCUGAGCAUGGACUGAACCCAGAUAAUUUCUGCUGUUGCAUUAGCCAAAGCCUUGUAUUCUGCUUCUAUAGUUGAUCUUGAGAUUGUAGCCUGUUUCUUUACACACCAAGAUAUUAGGUUAGGUCCAAAGAACACUGCAAAACCACCAGUAGAGUGCCUAUCAUCAAUAUCUCCUGCCCAGUCAGAAUCAGAGAAUGCACUAAUAAGAGUUGAAGUAGACUUGGAGAAAGUAAGACCAACAUUAACCGUGUCUUUGACAUAUCUUAGUAUCCGUUUUGUAGCAGUCCAAUGAACUGUAGUGGGAGCAUGAAGAAACUGACAAACUUUGUUCACAGCAAAAGAAAUAUCUGGUCUUGUAAGAGUCAAGUACUGGAGUGCACCAACUAAGCUUCUGUACUUGGUGCUAUCUUCCUGAUUCAGGAGUUCUCCCUCUAUAAGAGAAAUCUUUUCAGAACUUGACAUUGGUGUUGGUGAUGACUUGCAUCCCUAUAGCCCAGCUCUUCUUACAAGAUCAGUAGCGUAUUUUUCCUGAGAUAGGUGAAGUUCACUUCCUUGUUUCCUUACCUCAAUACCUAGGAAAAAAUGCAAGUCUCCUAGAUCCUUCAAUGCAAAUUCAACACUAAGAUCUUUCAACAGUCCUGUCAUUGCUUCAUCUGAUGAGCUUGUAACAAUAAUAUCGUCAACAUAAAUGAGCACAAAGAUAGAUGUGUUGCACUUAUUGUAAAUGAACAGUGACGUGUCAGACUUGGAAGGAACAAAACCAAGUGCUUGUAAUUUUUGACUGAGACGGGAGUACCAUGCCCUAGGAGCUUGUUUGAGACCAUACAAAGCUUUAUCUAACUUGCAAACAUGGAAAGGUGUGUUUUUGUUCUCAAACCCAGGAGGUUACUUCAUGUACACUUCCUCUUCCAGAACACCAUGAAGGAACGCGUUCUGAACAUCUAGCUGUCUGAGACUCCAUCCCCUAGAAACAACAAUAGACAAAACAAGGCGAAUGGUGGCAGCUUUUAUAACGGGACUAAAGGUGUCCUCAUAGUCUAUGACAUACUGUUGCUUAAAUCCUUUGGCAACAAGUCUAGCCUUAUACCGAUCAAUAGUUUCAUCAGACUUCCUUUUUAUUCUGAAUACCCACUUGCAAUCAAUAAGAUUUUUACCUUGCCGUGGAGGAACUAGAUGCCAUGUCUUGUUUUUCUGGAGUGCUCUAUACUCUUCUUCCAUAGCUUGCUUCCACUUUGUGUCACCUAAUGCCUUAUCAAGCAUUUGUGGUUCACCUGUAGAGCAAGCUAAGCCAAACUUAAGUACCUUUUUAUAAUUAACAGGUUGCAAUACCCCUUUUUGUAGACGUGUGCGUGGCAUCAAUGGUGAAGCAGCAGCAGUUUGCUGCACAGAAGAUCCGGGGUCUGCAGCAGAAAAAUCCACAACAGCAUCCCCCGGCGAUCCCGAGGCAGAUACUCUGUGAUCUGAUGAGGAGGCAUGAUUUUCUGCGGCCUCAGCGUGUGAUGAAGGGGCGCCAUCCACCAUAGAGGAUCCGCCGCAGCAGGAGACCCGCUCCCACCAAGAGCAUCAUCGGGAUCCAUGCGGGAUCCAGCGCCUGUCGGGUGGUCCACCGCACGGGACCCCGAGCCGGUCGGUUAACACGGACGCCGCGCGUAGCAUGUGGGCGGAUCGGGAAAGUGGCUCAUCAGCUGCCGCGUGGAGCCCGGAGAUUGGCGCGGUCCAUCAGCGCCCGCUGAUUGGUUAGGGGCGAGCCGCGCUGCCGAGUUAGGGCGGUCAACCCGAGCGCUGUCGGGCAUGUCGUUGUCAGGCGCAGGUGAAGAGGGCGUCAAUCCCGAAGGAGAUCUCCUGUAGGACUGGUGCGGCCCGGAUCCCGAGGAAGAUAUGUUCCCCGAGGGCCUGCACAUGAAAUAUGGCUCGUUUUGAGCUGUUUCUUCACUGUUUUCAUCACCGUGACCACCAUUGGCUUCGUUGUUUUGUCCUGCAUCAUCACAUAGCUCAAGCAAACCGUUAUGAGGAUUAGUUGGCAUGUGAUCAUUACAGUUAUCUUCCCCAGAGGUACCUACUAGAUGUGAUGGCAAAAGGAGAAUUUCUUGGCAAAGAAGAGCACCGGCGUUUGGAUGUAGAUCGGCAAAGGGAAAUUUUGUCUCAUAAAAAACGACAUCUCUAGAGAUAUAGACUCGUCCAGUGGAAACAUCAAGGCACUUAACUCCUUUAUGUUGAGGGCUAUAGCCCAAGAAGACACACUGUUUCGAGCGAAACAUAAGUUUAUGAUUGUUGUAGGGUCUAAGGUUUGGCCAACAUGCACACCCAAAAAAAUGAAGUGAUGUAUAAUCGGGUUUGGUGUGAAGGAGCCUUUCUACCGGUAUUUCAUGAUGAAUGACACGACUGGGAAGCAUGUUGAUGAUAUGAACAGCGGUAAGAAAAGCAUCGUCCCAAAAUUUGAGGGGCAUGGAUGCGCCGGCCAAGAGAGCUAGACCAACCUCAACAAUGUGCCUAUGUUUUCUUUCGGCAGAUCCAUUUUGCUGAUGUGCAUGAGGACAAGAAACUUGGUGAGAGAUGCCAAAAUUUGGAAAAACGAGUUUAAUUUUUCGUAUUCCCCUCCCCAAUCGGAUUGAACGGCAAUGAUUUUGCUAUUAAACUUUCGUUCAAUAAGAGCUUGGAAGUUGUGAAACACUUGAAAAACCUCAGAUAUUUUUUUAAGUAAAUAGAUCCAAGAAUACUUGCUAUAGUCAUCAAUGAAGCUAACAUAAUAAGUAUGUCUACCAACAGAACUUGGAGCAGGACCCCAAACAUCAGAAAAUAUAAGUUGCAAUGGUUUGGUAGAAAUACUCAUGGAAAUUGGAUAAGGUAAUUGAUGGCUUUUAGCCUUUUGACAAGAAUCACAAAUUGUUUCAACAUCACGCUCUCCAACAUAUGGGAGCUUAUUCUUCCUAAGCAAUCGUUCAACUAAAGAAAAAGAUGCAUGCCCUAGUCUAUCGUGCCACCUUGUCGAGGAGAUUUUGGUGACACCAUAAGCUUGCUUAUUUAUUCUUCUAAACUCCGGAAUCAAUGGGUAAAGCCCGCGAACACAUCUACCUCGGUAGAGCACCUUCCUCGUUGCCUGAUCCUUGAUCAAAAAGAAAAAGGGGUGAAACUCGAGAAAGACAUGAUUGUCAAUGGCAAUACGAUGAACGGAGAGUAGAUUUUUAGAUGCACUAGGGACAUGAAGAAUUUUUCUUAGAUGAAUCUUUCGGUGAGGGGUUUGAAAAACUGAAUGACCAACAUGUUUAAUCUUCAUACCUAAUCCACUUGCUGUAUGUAUCUGGUCUUGGCCGCGAUACUUCUCCCGCAUAGUCACCUUUUCAAGUUCACCGGUGAUAUGAUUUGUAGCGCCACUAUCAACAUACCGGUUUGUAUCAACCCCGUAUGAGGCUUCUGCAGCACCAACGACCUUCUCAUCUUGCGAGGAUUCUCCUUCAUCCUCCUCAAACCGGUACCAGCAAUCCCUUGCUGAAUGACCGAUCUUGCCGUAGAUUAGACACUUGACAGCGUCGGGGCGGCUCCUGGAGUUGUUGUGACGGCCCUUGUUAUUGGUGUAGGAGGGCCGCCCACGAGAGGCGCUGUUGUUGUUGUUGGAGUUGCCGCUGCCGCCGCCGUUGUUCUUUCCCUUGUUGCGCGGAGGGCCACGGUAGCCGUGUGAGCCACCACGAACGGCAGCGUUGGCGGAGCUCUUGAACCCGGCGUUGUUGCCAGCACCAUGGAACAUAGCAAUGCGCUGGUUGAAGUUGCUUACUUGAGCGAACAGAUCAUCGAUCGUGACCGGUUCUUUGCGGGCGUCGAGUGCCGACACCAGCGGCUGGUACUCCAUAUACAUCCCUGCCAGGAUGUAGGAGAUGACUUCAUCGUCAUCCAGCGGCUUGCCAGCGGCCGCCAGCUCAUCGGCGAGGGAGCGGAUGUGGGCGAAGUAGGUGCCCACCGCUUGCGUGCCCUUCUGCGCGUUGGAGAGGGCGAUCCUGAUGUUGUUGAUGCGGGAUCGGGACUGGGACGAGAACAUGCUCGCCACAGCAGUCCAGAGCUCAUGCGCCUUGCGGAUCGAAGGUCACCUGGACAAGAACUUCUCGAGAGAGAUUGAUCAACAGAUGGCCAAGUACCUGUUGAUCUUCCUUUACCCAGACUUGGUGUAGAAGGUUCGGGGCGGCUUCCUCCUUGCCAUCUUUAUCCUUGGUGACGAGGAACUUCUUCGGUUCCUUGAUGGAUCCGUCGACGUAGCCAAACAGGCCAGCGCCGAUGAGCUGGGGCGUGAUCUGAGCACGCCAGAGGACAUAGUUCGUCCUGGUGAGCUUCUCUGUUACCUGACCAUGGAUGGUGGGUGCAGGAGCGACGGCGGAAGACGACAUGGUUGGAGCCAGGGUUUGAUGGAUGCUAGAUGUUGUGGAAGAGGAAGGCUCUGGUUACCAUGUGAAGAUGUGGUAAACGUCUUGCCUCGGUAUGAGGGGACGUGAUUCGUGUUUAUAGGCCGGGGCGCAAAUCCCUGUAGCGCAUACAAAGAGAUAGAAUACAUCUUGGAGAGGAUGAAAGAGAAAGAUAGUGAUAGCCACGGUUAAGCUAGUUAUCUAGGCUAACAAACUACCAGAAUAUCUUCAAGAGAUCUACAACGUUGCACUAUGCGCUGAACCUUAUAUGUUUAACACUGACAACUCAAUUUCAUGAUCUCUGAGUCUCUUACAAAAGCACUCGUACCGAUCCUGCACCGAAGACGAGACGACCACUCGAACAACAACUCCUGGUGUCGCACGGACAAGGCCAAAGACACAAGUGGCAUACGGCAACACUUCCUAAUUAACCCUACCCUGAUCCGUACUAGGACUACCCGGCAACCUGCUUUAACUAACACUGCAUAAUUUCCUAACGUUACCCAGCAAGACAGAUGCUCCAAGACUAGUUAGUGUACAACUUCAACAUUACCUACGCCAACUAGACCGGAAAUUGAGCGUUAAUUUUAAAAACCUGAAAUAUUUUUAACGUAAAUCACCCGACCUAAAUUUCCGGGAAAACUCGAACGCCCCUUUGACAUCAAACCGGCCCGGGCCAACUACAAGGCCCCCGAUUCUCUCCAAUGACCAUUAUGAUAGAGACCGGUGCUAUCUACAAACGAUUAGGCUUAAAAGUGGCGGGUUUCUUAAGUCCUGUUUGGUUCAUAAGUUUUAGAAUUUUUUUUAGUCCCAACUAAAAAGUCGCUAGUCCCUAAAAAAUCCUUAUCUGUUUGGUUUCUGAGACUAAACAUGGAUUUAUGGAUCAUGUUACAACUAAAAGUCUCAAAAAGACUCUCCUUGAGAGUCUUCUUUUAUAAGUCCCAAAUGCGCACUUUAAGUCCCUAUAAAUUCCUCCUGUUUGGUUUAGAUGGGACUAAAAGAAACUUUUUUAAGUCCCUAGACCAAUAAGCCCCUGUAAACAAACACCCCCUUAUAAGAGAAAAAAAGGAGAGUCAAGCCGGUGGUUAUGCUCUCCCUGUGUCCCAAGGGCGGUUCUGUGUAGUUUGUCUUGUGCAUGAGAUCAGUGUACAUUGCUACUGGGAGUUGUUCCUGUUGUUUACAGGUUCUGAUGAUGCUCUGUAGUUCAGUUUAAUUUGUUAGUUCUGAUGAUGCACUGUAACGACCUUGCGGCAAGCUUUGAAACAGUGUUACCAUGGGCAAUGCUUCUUGAUGACUUGUCUAUGAGUGCUGAUAUCCUUGCAUUUUAUCUGUAGGAGGAGCUUUGAAGGUUUGUUAGGGCAGACAAGAUGGUUCUCAAGUAUGUUACUGUCUUAGAUGUCGUGCAGAAAUGUUAAUGAUUUGUAAAAUUGCUUCUUCCAAUCUUACUUAUUCCCACAUUUGUGUUCAUACAGGACAGAGCUCGGCCGUUUUAGCGGUGCAAAGAUAUACCUAGGGAAGGGUAUCCGAUUCAUCCGUUCAGAGUGUCAGGUAAGCCCUUGUGCGUCCUUUCGUUAUUUUGUAUGGAAUGAAAAUAACUAGAAAUUCUCUAACAUUCUGCUGCACCUUCUUUGUGUGUGCCCAAAAUCAGGUAUUCCUUUUCUCGAACUCCAAGUGCAAGCGCUACUUCCGCAACCAUCUCAAGCCCGCUAAGCUCACAUGGACGGCCAGGUUCAGGAAGCAGCACAAGAAGGUACAUGCAAAUAAGCCAAUCCCUUUAGGGCUUGUUCGGUUAAUCCCUCCCACAAGGGGAUUGGAGAGAAUUGGAGGGGAUUGAGGUGGAUUUUGAUUUGUGGGGGAUCUAAUCCCUCUCAAUCCCCUCCAAACCCCUUCAAAUCUGAAGGAACCGAACAAGGCCUUAAUGAUAUACUCCACAUCCUAGUUCAGCAAAUGUUUCAUAAUGUUACUAGUAUGUCAUAUUAGAGUGAUCUUCUUAGGCAGUGUAAGAGGUGAAUCCAUCUGGUAACUAGUUGACUUGCUUAAAUAUUUCACCUGAUGAAUAAUUUCAUAUUUCAGUAGCUAGCGACAGUCAAACAAAGUGACAUAUCUAGUAAGUCUCAGGGACUAGAAUGAUUUGAUGACCAGUUUACCACAAUGUCAGAUAGUCUGUUAACAACAUAAAUGAUAUGUAUUGCUUAAUCAUGUGUAAUUUCCAUUCCUUUGCUUUGCACAGACAGACGUAUUGUUUCUUAGAUUAGGUCUCUGUUUUAUUGUGUUUUCACCGAUGCUCCAUCACUCGCCGUCCUUGUUUUUAUAAGCAACUACAAAAUUUAUGUUUGUGCAUAGGAAAUUAUGAAGUUGUGCUUAUAAUUUAUUUUGUGGUGUAUGCUUGCAGGAUAUCCAUGCCGAGGCUGCAAAGAAGAGGCGGCGCACAACCAAAAGGCCAUAUUCCAGGUCUAUUGUCAGUGCUUCUCUUGAUGUCAUCCAGAAGAAGAGAGCCGAGAAGCCUGAGGUCCGUGAUGCAGCCAGGGAAGCAGCUCUCCGGUAACACUUCCUUCUCCCUCGCUUCCGACCCCUGCUUAUAGAUAUUGUGAUGUGCUAUACCAUAUGAACCAACAUGUUCUUCUUCUGUUGCAUGCCAAACUAGGAUUGUUAUAUCUGUUCUGACUCAAGUUUGUAUUGAACUAUGUGGUGGAGUUAACGCCUUGUAAACUUCUAAUGGGCCGUGUAGUCUUUGAAAGAAAUAGAUGGUAAUUAUGUAUGGAUUGGAGAAGGUAGCUUUAGUUUGGGUUUUAAGAAGCCAUUUCUUUUAGGUCACUCACACCUGUGAACUGAACAUCAUCCAUGUAAUAUCCACUGUGUGUUUCUGCUACUCUUAAUGUUUGUACAAUAUCAGGGACGUCUUGGCACCACAUUCUUUUAUCUAUUGUAUAUCUAUGAGGCACUUACUUACAGUGGUAACUGUUGUAGUAUAACAGUGAGAUCAAGGAGCGGAUCAAAAGUUGUUUCAAAAAAAAGGAGCGGAUCAAAAAGACCAAGGACGAGAAACGGGCUAAGAAGGUGGAGGUGACGAAGUCCAGGAAGACGACCGCCCGGCAGAGGGAACGCCCCCAAACCCGGUAAGGCCCCCAAGCUUGGCGGCAAUUGAUGUUUGUUUCGCACCACGCUGUCGAUGUUCGUUUGUCCGUGACCUAUCGAAGCCGGUCUCCGUAGACCCUUUCUCAUGGCAUGUCUGUCAUUAUCCCCGAAGCUUCCCCUUAAUAACUUGAUGUUAAUCGAUGCGGCGCACUGCCGAAAUGUCGUCGGAAGGCGACCUUGUGAGGCGAUGCUGCUUUUGGCUGGGUCGGGCCGCCACGGAAGCUGUUGGUUCGACGGCCGUGGUCGCCAAGCACUUGCUCCGUCGCUCGUGCAGUACUACUAGUAGAUUAGUCAUGGUAGGUGUUGAGAUUAGUUUCACGGGCUGGUCGGUGCCAGGUUCAGCGCACCUUGAUCCGGGAGAAAACUAAGGUUCAGUGAACCUCGUACAGACACCAACCGAGCACGUGUUUUGCCUUUUAAUAAUUUUUAUUUAGCGUGAUCGUCUCGAUAAGACCGAAGGGGUGGCUUAAAGAAACGAUCGUUGUCUCAGACGGACGGGAUCAUAUCCGAUCGUACGGCUAGUCGGCGCCGACAUGUCACCUAAGCGACAGAAAAGCACGUGGUAGGUGAGGCUCGCCACAUGCUUUCUUCCAAGAUUGUUUUGCGCAAAUCACGUGCGAUCAAAGGCUUUGUUCCAUUCGUCUGACUAAAGAUUUUUGUCUAGUUUGCAUCUAAUAAAGAAAUGAGUUUUGUGGAUCCUCAAAAAAAAAAAUGAGUUUUGUGUAGUUUUGGGGAUUAAAAUCUACAUUGCCGAAGCUUUUGAGAUGGCUCCCGGCCGUAUUUGCAAGGGCGAUCCGCCAGGAACUUGCAAAAGCUGUCCGUCGGACUUGAGACCGAGGUUGAUCCCCAAUGAAUCGAAGUCGCUCCUGUGUCAGUUUGGUUUGUGCUCCCUCGGCACCUAGCGUGGCAUGCCAGUGAGUGUUGAUGGAGGGGGCACACGACCUCACCUCACUCCCCUCUAGCCCAGGCAGGGAUGGGAUCGACCCGGAUAUUCCAGCCUCGUGUGUGCAGUAAGUAGAGUAGGUCGCAGACAAAGUUUCAGUGGAAAAGCGUUGACACGAUCUCAGGCGUCCGUGCAGGUGCGGCGCACCUCGGCUGGUACGUGCAAGUGGAUCAUUGCGCUCUAGAAAGGAAAAAAAAUAAUGCAUGGCAGCGCCGAGAUCUGUUAGCUCGGCAGCCACGUACGCCGAGGCCGUCGACCCGAUGGACCACCCACGCCUUUCCGAUACCUCUCCGACGUGUCUCCGUGCGUGUCGCUCGCGGUCGACAGCGCCGAGUGCGACGGCACGUCGCACGUCCGACCCACCCACGCCGGCUUCCCUCCCCAGAAAUGCGGACCACGUCGCGGCCCGGCCGGACGCCGAUGCACCUGGACACCCCACAUCGAUCGAUCGUGUCGACGCGCGCCCAGCGCCACGCGACUCGGUGGUGACCGUCGCACGCCGCGCGACAAGGAAGGCCGGGCGGGGGAAAGCGCGCUGCGCUUUUCGGCGGGGCAUGUGCCCGGCCAGCCGCCUGGUGGGGGUGGGGGUGGGUCGGCUCGGCCACGAACGAUCCGGUGGGCCGGUUGGUCGCCGCGUGUGCGGCUGCGUGCCCGCAACAAUUCCGGGAAAAAGUUCCCCCUAAAAAAAACAAUUCCGGGAAAAAGCGUAGGACUGUGUCGCGACCUGCGAGGGGAUAAGCUAGCGCAGCUGCGGUGUGGUGUUGUGCACCGGGCGGGCGAAUCUUCCCGACGAGCGCCGAGCCUGCGUCGCGGUGGUAGCGACCCGCGCGGGCGCGGGACGGCGUCGAUGAUUCGAGCCGCCGUGGUCGCGGUCCAGAGGUGUGACGGGGGAUAAAAGGGCUUGCUGUCGACGGGCAGAUCUCAGAGCAUCCGGCACCUCAAAUCCUUCUCGAACGCUCCGGAAGCCUCAAACAAACCCAAACGUCCGGCCUGACCGACAUCCCUUAUAUAUCUAACAUAAAUAUGGAACGAAUGUGGGGCAUCCGGACACGCCCGUCACGUUGGAUCUUAUGUUGGCCUACCCAACCCACGUAUAUUCCUCCCCAACUGCUCGUCGAACCAAACCCUAACCACUUCACUCUCCUUUCCACCCAAGUUCAUCUCCGGCGUUGUCCGACCGUCUCUGCCAUGGCAGGCAGCGGAUUCAAGUCCUUCACCUCCAGAUCCGUCGACCCCGAGCUCAUCUCACACGGCCCCAAAGAGGAGAUGGCCGUCCGGCAUGCGCUCCACCGCUCCCGGGAGGAGGCCCGCGCACGACAGCGCUCGGAUUUCUUCCGUUGGGAAUCCAUUGCGUCCGCCUAAAUGACGCAUGGAUCCGGCGCUAGGGCAGCAGUCGCUACCUCACCGGAGGCGGUGCGAGCCGUCUGGUGUCCGAACACGGUGGCGGACGUGCAACCCCUCCGUUGGCACGCCGAGGUCAUGGAUGCACCGUGGGCGUUGUCCGAUGCAAUCAUGGCAUGGCAUGCCCGCCAUGCGAGGCAGCGGCAGCGCUCGCGACAUGGACGUCGGCGAGGCAGGGUCAAAUUCUCCGGCGCCCCAUAUGGUACACCACUCUGGGCAAUGCAACCGUGGCGUGCUGGAUGUCGCUGGCUCGUUCCAGGACGGAUCCAUCAUCGAUCCUAUGUCUACCGACACCCAACAGGUUCCGGGCUUCGACGAGGAAGAGUAGGGCAUGGGAGACGACAACGCCUUGAGUCCCUUGAGCUGGAUCGUGUCACAUGCCCUACUCUACCUUGCCGGCGUCCGGACCAAUACUCUCGGAGCGCAGCCGGCCGCCGGAUAUGGCCACGGUGACCGGACAAGCUCUGCUCAAAAUCGCUAUGUUGCAUGUAGUAACAUGGAUUUGAGAUUUUUAAUUUGGGGUAUCCGUGCGCAUCAGCGGGCAUUUGGGAGGCCGAAUUUGCCCAUCACAGGUGUAGAUGCUUUACUCUCUUCUGGUUUGCAAUGGAUACAAUUAAAAUGGCAUGUCCAUUCAAUCCUAUAGUAUUGGAAGUUUGGAACUUGUUUGAUUACUAUAUAGUUACUAUAGACAAAUUACUAUAGAAUAAGAAUUCAAUCCUAUGAAUCAAAAGAUCAACAUAUGAAAAAAAGAAAGGAUUUUAAUUCCCCAAUAAUCAAAGGGAAAUCCUAUGGAUCAAAGGAGCCCUUAAAUUAAAAAGGCAUGCUUCUAUCAUGUACUCAGAAUAGUGUUUUCAUCCUCGUGCAACAAAUGGCAUUUAUGGAAAUAAUGUUGCGAACUUGCCGGGGUUAUUUUUAUUUUUAUGCCGCUAUUUGAGCAUACAACACCCUUCUUUGGAGAAAACGUACCACACCAUGCCACACCUCCCCUCCCACCCUAAUGUCAUCGCCAAAUGACGACCUUGGCCUAAGAUUGCACACUAAACUAGCGGCAAUGGGGUUCCUUGCAACGAUUUCCUCAAAGGUUCAAGGCAUGGUCUUUAUCAUCGACAAAAGCUCCUUCGGCGACGGAGAGGAGGCGUUGCCCUCGUGCUCAGAUGGGGAUGAAUUUGCACACGAUACACGAUAUGGCUUUGAUGCAACUUUCUCGUUGUAACUACGGAGCUAGGGCAAUGGACUGGUCAGACUCCCCUAGUCGGGAUAGGCUAACCAACUAGCCGCAGAUUGGGGAAUGUGAGCUUGCUGAUGAAAAGCCAUGUUUAAUUGUGGCUGGAGCAAACAAUGUUAUAUGUGGGCGGUAUUACUUUGCUGGAGGCAUCAUAUGGUAUAGUUCUUGUCUUUCUGGGAUGCUCGGGAGAAACCCUAGAUCUCGGUCUUUCCAGGUCUAACGAUGGUUGUUGUUCUUUCUAGCUUGUCUUCCUAAUUAAAGUUGCCUUGCCGCCGACUGUGCUGACAAUUUUCUGGCAUGGAUCAUUGGCUUCAGACGGUUAUUACGACAACGGAUUAGCCGAUGGUCAUCUAUGGUUUUCUGUGACUUGGUGCCCAUUAAUAUAAAUGGAAGUGAUGUCAAUAUAUUUGCUCAAAUCCUUGGUUGCAAACUAAGUGAGUUCCCUAUUAAGUAUUUAGGUGCUCCCCUCCAUCCCAGAAAACUAAAGAAAAGUGAGCUCCAGCCUACUAUUGAUAAAAUUAUUAAAAGGGGAGCUGGGUGGAGAGGGAGAUUACUAUCUUCUGGCAAGAGACUCACACUAGUGAAGACCUAUCUAGCUACUAUCCCUGGCUACCUUAUGGGGAUUAUUAAAUUCCCAAAAUGGGCCAUAAAGCUAAUUAAUUCACAACUAGCUCACUGUUUUUGGGAUGAUUAUGAGGGUCAUCAUAAAUAUCACCUUGCUGCCUGGGAGAAUGUGACCCUACAAAAGCAACAUGGGGGCCUAGGUAUCCCCAAUAUCGCUGACAUGAAUCUAUGCCUAUUAGCUUCCUGGAUUAAGAGAUAUUUCCUGGAUGAGGGCAAGAUUUGGAAGCAAAUUAUUGAUGCCAAAUAUAGAACUCAUAGCCCUAAUAUUUUUACUAUCCCUAGCAAUGGUGCUUCCCCUUUCUGGAAAGGGAUCCUUUGGGCUACUAAAGCCACUAGAAUGGGGUAUUCCUGGAUAGUCAGUAAUGGCAAUAGUAUUAGAUUCUGGGAAGACCAGUGGAUUGGGCAUACCACUCUUGCUAUCCAAUAUUGGGACUUGUACAAUAUUGCCAAUGACCAGAAUAUUUCUAUCAGUGAAGUGUGGGAUGGCACUAAUCCUAAAAUUACUUUUAGAAGGUGUUUUACCCAAAAAAUGCUGGCUGAUUGGAAUGAUCUGUUCAGUCGGCAGUCGCAUUAUUAAAAUUAAGCUGGAGGACAGGGAAGAUACAAUCCUCUGGAAUUGUGAACAUAAAGGUGUCUGCACUGUAAAAUCUUUCUACAACAUUGUAAAUUUUAGGGGAGUUCGGCCGGGUAACCUGCUAGUUAUUUGGAAAAUCAAUGCCCCCCUGAUGAUUCAGAUUUUUCUCUCGCUUAUGGCCAAAAACAAAUUAUUAACGAGAGAUAAUCUGCAAAAAAGACAACAUGUAGAAGAUGCUACUUGUUUUUUCUGUAAUGAAUCUGAAUCUAUUGAACAUUUAUUUUUUGGCUGUGUCGUUGCGAUUGAACUAUGGAGAGUGAUUUUUGAUAUAUCCAAUAAAUACGGUGGAAUGUCCGUUGAUGACAUGCUGGCCUGGUGGUUUAAUAACAAAAAUCACUCCGCGAUCUGUUUGCUACAUUCUGCUAUCCUUUGGACUCUAUGGAAAUAUCGUAAUGACAUUUGUUUUAAUCAUAUCCCCUGGCUUGGGAUGCAGGUCCUGUGAAGGAAAACUGCUACUAUACUAAGCAGUUGGAUGGUUCGAUGCUGUGGCCCUGUCAAAGAAAAAGUGAUGCACUUGGUGAGAAAGCUGGAGCAGGAAGUNNNNNNNNNNNNNNNNNNNNNNNNNNNNNNNNNNNNNNNNNNNNNNNNNNNNNNNNNNNNNNNNNNNNNNNNNNNNNNNNNNNNNNNNNNNNNNNNNNNNNNNNNNNNNNNNNNNNNNNNNNNNNNNNNNNNNNNNNNNNNNNNNNNNNNNNNNNNNNNNNNNNNNNNNNNNNNNNNNNNNNNNNNNNNNNNNNNNNNNNNNNNNNNNNNNNNNNNNNNNNNNNNNNNNNNNNNNNNNNNNNNNNNNNNNNNNNNNNNNNNNNNNNNNNNNNNNNNNNNNNNNNNNNNNNNNNNNNNNNNNNNNNNNNNNNNNNNNNNNNNNNNNNNNNNNNNNNNNNCCUCCUGAGGUGGCCAGACCCUGGCUAGGCCUACCACAGUGCUCGGAGGUGCUACAUAAACCGUGCCAUUGACUGAGAUCUGAGUGGUCCAUUGAGCUUCAAUGUCCUACUUCUUCGCCGCGGCUCCCAUUUCUUGUUCUCUGCCGGUUGGUACUUUCUUUGAGGAUAACCUUUUUCUCUUGUAGUAGUUAAGUAAAUUGGCGUUCUGCCUUUUGAGGCUUGGACAACUCAUUUUUUUGGGCAUGUGUACUGUUUAUCCCCCGCGUGCUUGUAACAGGAUGUUGGAUUAUCUGAAAUUUCAUUUGAUAAUACAAAUGGAGCCGGGGCCGAGAGCCCUUUAACUCUAAAAAAAA